UAUUCCCAGAGUUCGUAACUACGAUUGGGCUGAAAUAUCGAGGGGAUGUUUAUCUGGAUAUUAGCUUUCUUGUGGUCGAAGGACACCUCCAACCAACUUACAGGGUAGCCACAAGCCCUCUGAGCAUCGUCUCGCUGAUUCUUUUUUUUCUUCUAAAAAUCACAUAUAUUUCAAAAAUAUCUUCAUAAAUUUUUAUCGCAUUUGGACUUCAUUUGAUAUGGAUUUUCUACGAAACAAAAAUAUGCAACAAACAGGAGCUGGCAUCGGGCACUCAAUUAAUAUGUUAGUCCAAGAAAAUCAUAUAAAUUGUUGCCAAAAGUAUGUGAAAGUUGUAGAAUAUUGGCAUAAAAAAAUAAAAAUGUUAUGCGUAUCACACAUUUUGGUACACUGCCAAAGGCAUUCAUAUAGAGUCAUACUGUAGUAUUGAGUUGUAAGUAAAUAAAAGUGUGAUGACCAUAAUUAUUAGAGCAUUGUCCGAGUGAGGAAAGUAUGACGGAGAUGAUGAUACCCCCACAAGUCAGGAUGAGACUCCGGACGGAAAAAAGAGAGGCCAAAAGAGCCCACCAAAAAAAGGAGAGAUAAAGAGAGAAGGUGCAAUGUUACUAUCACUUUUCCACACUUGUGCUUCAAAGUAGCACCAUGUUCUUCAUAAAGAUAGUCUCCUAGUUGUCACUUUCAUAUACUAGUGAAAAUGUUUUAUUAUAGAACUUGGCUUGUAUAUUCUGAUGAUGGGCUUCCUCAAAUGCCUGAGAUCUUCAUGAGCAAGCAAGUUCGAUGCACACUCACUUAGGUUUCAUUGAGCUUUCAUGCAGUUAUAGCUCUUAGUGCAUUCGUUGCAUGUCAACCCUUACUCCUCGCGUUGAUAUAGAUUGAUGGGCCUCUUCAUAGUCCAUUGAUCCGUCGAGUUGAUGUGAGACCUUUUUUCCUUUUUGACCCCCUUAUGAUCUCGGGAGAAUAUCGUACGGAAACCAACAUUCGGUGGAAACCAAUGAAAACCACGAGACAAAGAUGUUUUGAAGUUUUGAAAAAAACAGAAAAAUUAUGAGAUGUUAAGAGAAUGGUGUUUUAUUGCCAAACAAAUUUUCAAGUUGAAACACAUUGUGAGAUGUCAGCUAUGAAAAAGAAAAAAUCGGCGUUGAAUAGUAAUGUCACUAUUCAGGGCUGAUUUUGCCUUUUUUGUAGCUCACAUCUCGCAAUGUGUUUGAACUUGAAUUUUUGCGUGGCAAUAAAACAUCACCUCCCUAACAUCCCUUAUUUUUUCAGAAUUUUUCUAAACUUUAAAGUAUGGUUUGCAUGAAGUUUUCGUUAAAUAUUGGUUUCCGUAUGAUAUUAUCCCUAUGAUCUCUACUAUAUCCAUGGCUCACGCUCAUAUAUUGCGUGAAGUUGAAAAUGUUGAAGCGCGUUCAAAGUACGAUCCAGUUACCUAGUUUGACACAUUGGUGCUCUUGAUUUAUAUUCAUGCGAUAAAGGCGGAGUCAUGUCAUGCUAACAUGAUAAUGAGUGGGGUAACAUUCAUUAAGGAUCGUAUAUUUUGAAAGUUUAAUGAUUAUGUUUCUUAUAUUCAUGGAUAUUAUUAUGUUGAUAUUGUUAAUUCAUUGUUUCUCAAUAUUUAUACUGAAAAUAGAUUACAGGGUACACAUGUUAGGUAGCUUUCAACAUCAAAAUUAUUAUUUUUAUCAUUUACCUACUUGAGGACGAGUAUGAAUUAUGCUUGGGGAUGCUAAUACGUCACCGACACAUCUAUAAUCUUUGAUUGUUUCAUGCUAUUAUAUUAUCAAUCUUGGAUGCUUUAUAUGCAUUUUUAUGCUAUUUUAUAUCAUUUCUGGGACUAACCUAUUAACCCAGUGCCCAGUGCCAGUUCAUGUUUUCUGGGUUUUUUCUACUUUUCAGGAAAUCAAUACCAAAGGAAGUCUAAAUGGAUUAAAACCUUUAAAUUAUUUUUUCGGGACCAGAAGGGACCCAUGAAGCUUCGGGAGGAGGCCAGAAGAGAUACAAGAGGGCCAUAAGCUCGUAGGCCCAACGGAACUCCGUUUGACCUAAUUCCACUUCUAUAAAUUUUCAAAUAUUCCCAAACCAUCCGAGGGGCACUCGAAGAAACUUUUCCACCACCGCAAGUCUUUGUUCUUCUGUGAUCACAUCUGGAGGCCUUCUCCGGUACUCUGCCAGAGUGGGAAACGAUCAUGGAGGGCUUCUACAUCAACCUUUUUGCCCUUCUGAUGUGUGAGUAGUUCACCAUAGACCUACAGGUCCAUAGCUAGUAGCUAAAUGGCUUCUUCUCUCUCUUGGAUCUUCAAUACCAUGUUCUCCUCGAUCUUCUUGGAGUUCUAUUUGAUGUAGUCUCCUUUGAUGUCUUUGUUGGGAUCCGAUGAAUUUUGGGUUAUUGAUCAGAUUAUUCAUUGAAAGUAAUUGAGUCUUCUCUGAACUCUUUUGUGUAUGAUUGUUAUAGCUGUGUAUUUCUCUCCAAUCUAUCCGUUUGGUUUGGCCAACUAGAUUGAUUUAUCUUCAGUGGGAGAGGUGCUUUAUAGUGGGUUCAAUCUUGCGGUGGUCUAACCCAGUGACAGAAAGGGCCAAGGCACGUAUUGUAUUGUUGCUGAAGGAAAUAUGCCCUAGACGCAAUAAUAAAGUUAUAUUUACUUAUAUCAUCAUAAAUGUUUAUUAUUCAUGCUAGAAUUGUAUUAACCAGAAACUUAGUACAUGUGUGAAUACAUAGACAAAACAAAGUGUCCCUAGUAUGCCUCUACUUGACUAGCUCGUUAAUCAAAGAUGGUUAUGUUUCCUAACCAUAGCUGGUGUUGUCAUUUGAUGAACAGGAUCACAUCAUUAGGGAAUGACGUGAUGGACAAGACCCAUCCGUUAGCUUAGCAUACUGAUUGAUAAGUUUUAUUGCUAUUGCUUUCUUCAUGACUUAUACAUGUUCCUCUGACUAUGAGAUUAUGCAACUCCCGAAUACUAGAGGAACACCUUGUGUGCUAUCAAACGCCACAACGUAACUAGGUGAUUAUAAAGAUGCUCUACAGGUGUCUUCGAAGGUGUUUGUUGGAUUGGCAUAGAUCGAGAUUAGGAUUUGUCACUCCGUGUAUCGAAGAGGUAUCUCUGGGCCCUCUCGGUAAUGCUCAUCAUUAUAAGCCUUGCAAGCAAUGUGACUAAUGAGUUAGUUGUGUGAUGAAGAAUUACAGAACGAGUAAAGAGACUUGCGGGUAACGAUAUUGAACUAGGUAUGAUGAUACCGAGGAUCAAAUCUCGGGCAAGUAACAUACCGACAAUAAAGGGAACAACGUAUGUUGUUGUGCGGUUUGACCGAUAGAGAUCUUCGUAGAAUAUGUAGGAGCCAAUAUUAGCAUCCAGGUUCCGCUAUUGGUUAUUGACCGGAGAUGUGUCUCCGUCAUGUCUACAUAGUUCUCGAACCCGUAGGGUUCGCACGCUUAACGUUCGAUGAUGAUUUGUAUUACGAGUUAUGUGUUUUUGAUGACCAAAGUUUGUUCAGAGUCUCGGAUGAGAUCACGGACAUGAAGAGGAGUCUCGAAAUGGUCGAGAGGUAAAGAUUGAUAUAUUGGAAGGUUGUAUUCGGACACCGGAAGGGUUCCGGAGUGUAUCGGGUACAAACAGGAGUACCGGAAGGGUUAUCGGAACCCCCCGGUGGAAGAUAUGGGCCAUGGGAGGGAGGCUAACUAGCCCACAAGGGGCUGGUGCACCCCCCACAAGGGAGGAGGCCGAAUUGGACUAGAGAAAGGGAGCGCCACCCCUUUCCUUAUCCUACUCCCUCUCCUUCCCCCUUUCCACCUCCGUAAGAAGGAAGAAAAGAGGGAGGGGGGGCUGAAUCCUACUAGGAGUGGAGUCCUAGUAGGACCCCCCUCCCUUGGCGCGCCCCUGGUCGCCGGCCUCCUCCUCCCUCCUUUAUAUACGGGGGCAGGGGGCACCCCAAAGGCACAACAUUGUCUUAGCCGUGUGUGGUGCCCCCCUCCAUCGUUUACUCCUUCAAUAGUAUCAUUGUAGUGCUUAGGCGAAGCUCUGCGCGGAUCACAACAUCAACACUGUCAUCAUGUUGUCUUGUUGACGAAACUCUCCCUCGACCCUCUGCUGGAUCAAGAGUUUGAGGGACGUCAUCAUGCUGAACAUGUGCUGAACACGGAGGUGUUGUACGUUUGGUACUUAGAUCGGUUGGAUCGUGAAGACGUUCGACUACAUCAACCGUGUUAACUAAUGCUUCCGCUUUCGGUCUACGAGGUUACGUGGACACACUCUCCCCUCUUGUGGCUAUGCAUCUCCUAGAUAGAUCUUGCGUGAUCGUAGGAAUUUUUUUGAAAUUGCAUGCUAUGUUCCCCAACAGUGGUAUCCGAGCCAGGUCUAUGCGUAGAUGAUAUGCACGAGCAGAACACAAAGAGUUAUGGGCGAUAAUAGUCAUACUGCUUACCACCAACGUCUUACUUUGAUUCGGCGGUAUUGUUGGAUGAAGCGGCCCAGACCGACAUUACAUGACCGCAUUCAUGAGACUAGUUCUACCGACGUGCUUUGCAUAUAGGUGGCUGGCGGGUGUAUGUUUCUCCAACUUUAGUUGAAUCGAGUUUGACUACGGCCGGUCCUUGUUGAAGGUUAAAACAACACACUUGAUGAAAAAUCAUUGUGGCUUUGAUGCGUAGGUAAGAACGGUUCUUGCUAGAAGCCCGUAACAACAACGUAAAAGUUGCAACAACAAAGUAGAGGACGUCUAACUUGUUUUUGCGGGGCAUGUUGUGAUGUGAUAUGGUCAAUAUAUGAUGUGAUAUAAAUUGUUUUAUGAGAUGAUUAUGUUUUGUAACAUAGUUAUCGGCAACAGGCAGGAGCCAUAUGGUUGUCACUUUAUUAUAGGAAAUGCAAUCGCCAUGUAAUUGCUUUACUUUAUCUCUAAGCGGUAGUGAUAGUCGUAGAAGCAAUAGUUGACGAGACGACAACGAUGCUACGAUGGAGAUCAAGGUGUCAAGCCGGUGACAAUGGAGAUCAUGAUGGUGCUUUGGAGAUGGAGAUCAAAGGCACAAGAUGAUGAUGGCCAUAUCAUGUCACAUAUUUUGAUUGCAUGUGAUGUUUAUCUUUUAUGCAUCUUAUUUUGCUUAGUACAACGGUAGCAUUAUAAGAUGAUCCCCUCACCAAAUUUCAAUGUAUAAGUGUUCUCCCUAAGUAUGCACCGUUGAUACAGUUCGUUGUGCCGAGACACCACGUGAUGAUUGAGUGUGAUAAGCUCCACAUUCACAUACAACGGGUGCAAGCUUGUUUUGCAUGUGCAGAAUACUCGGGUUAAACUGAACGAGCCUAGCAUACAUAGAUAUGGCCUCGGAACACUAAGACUGAAAGGUCGAACGUGAAUCAUAUAGUAGAUAUGAUCAACAUAGAGAUGUUCACCAUUGAAAACUAGUCCAUCUCACGUGAUGAUCGGACAUGGUUUAGUUGAUAUGGAUCAUGUGAUCAUUUAGAUGACUAGAGGGAUGUCUAUCUAAGUGGGCGUUAUUUAGUAAUAUGAUUAAUUGAACUUUAAUUUAUCAUGAACUUAGUCCUGAUAGUAUUUGCAAAUUAUGUUGUAGAUCAAUAGCUCGUGUUGUAGUUUCCCUAUGUUUUUUGAUAUGUUCCUAGAGAAAACUAAGUUGAAAGAUGAUAGUAGCAAUGAUGCAGACUGGGUCCGUGAUCUGAGGUUUAUCCUCAUUGCUGCAAAGAAGAAUUAUGUCCUUGAUGCACUGCUAGGUGACAGACCUAUUGCAGGAGCAGAUGCAGACGUUAUGAAUGUUUGGCUAGCUCAAUAUGAUGACUAGUUGAUAGUAUAGUGCACCAUGCUUUACGACUUAGAACCAGGAUUUCAAAAACGUUUUGAAACGCCAUGGAUCAUAUGAGAUGUUCGAAGAGCUGAAAUUGGUAUUUCAGACUCAUGUCCGUGUCAAGAGGUAUGAGACCUCUGACAAGUAGUUCGCUUAAAAGGAUGGAGGAGAAUCGCUCAGCUAGUGAGCAUGUGCUUCGAAUGUCUGGGUACUACAAUCACUUGAAUCAAGUGGGAGUUAAUCUUCCAGAUAAGAUAGUGAUCGACAGAGUUCUCUAGUCACCAUCACCAACUUACUAGAACUUCAUGAUGAACUAUAAUAUGCAAGGGAUGACAAAAGCGAUCCCGAAGCUCUUCGUGGUGCUGAAAUCAAUGAAGGUAGAAAUCAAGAAAAAACAUUAAGUACUGACAAUUAAACAAGAUCACUAGUUUCAAGAAAAGGGCAAAGGGAAAGAAAGGGAACUUCAAGAAGAAUGGCAAGCAAGUUGUCACUCCUGGGAAGAAGCCCAAAGCUAGACCCAAGCCUGAAACCGAUUGCUUCUACUCCAAAGGAAAUGGUCACUAGAAGCGGAACUGCCCCAAAAAAAUUUGGCGGAUAAGAAGGAUGGCAAAGUUAACAAAGGUAUAUUUGAUAUACAGGUUAUUGAUGUGUACCUUACUAGUGUUCAUAGUAGCCCCUGGGUAUUUGAUAUUUGUUCGGUUGCUCAGAUUAGUAACUCGAAACAGGAGUUACAGAAUAAACAAAGACUAGUUGAGGGUGAAUUGACGAUGUGUGUUGGAAGUGGUUCCAAGAUUGAUAUGAUCAUCAUCGCACACUCCUUAUACUUUUGGGAUUAGUGUAGAACCUAAAUAAAUGUUAUUUUGUGUUUGCGUUGAGCAUGAAUAUGAUUAGGUCAUGUUCAUUGCAAUAUGGCUAUUCAUUUAAGACAAAGAAUAAUUGUUAUUCUUUUUACAUGAAUAAAACCUUCUAUGGUCAUACACCCAACGUUGAUGGUUUAUUGAAUCUCGAUCGUAGUGAUACACAUAUCCAUAAUAUUGAUGCUAAAAGAUGCAAAGUUGAUAAUGAUAGUGCAACUUAUUUGUGGCACUGCCGUUUGGGUCAUAUCGGUGUAAGCGCAUGAAGAAACUCCAUAAAGAUUGACUUUUGGAAUCACUUGAUUAUGAAUCAUUUGAUACUUGCGAACCAUGCCUUAUGGGAAAGAUGACUAAAACUCCGUUUUCCGGAACAAUGGAACGAGCUACUGACUUAUUGGAAAUAAUACAUACUGAUGUAUGUGGUCCAAUGAGUGCUGAUGCUCGUGGCGGGUAUCGUUAUUUUCUGACCUUCACAGAUGAUUUGAGAAGAUAUGGGUAUAUCUACUUAAUGAAACACAAGUCUGAAACAUUUGAAAAGUUCAAAGAAUUUCAGAGUGAAGUGGAGAAUCAUUGUAACAAGAAAAUAAAAUUUCUACAAUCUGAUCGUGGAGGUGAAUAUUUGAGUUACGAGUUUGGCCUUCAUUUAAAACAAUGUGGAAUAGUUUCACAGCUCACGCCACCUGGAACACCAAAACGUAAUGGUGCGUCCGAACGCCGUAACCGCACUUUAUUAGAUAUGGUGCGAUCUAUGAUGUCUCUUACCGAUUUACCACUAUCGUUUUGGGACUAAGCAUUAGAGACAGGUGCAUUCAAGUUAAACAGGGCACCGUCAAAAUUCGUUUAGACGACACCGUAUGAACUGUGGUUUGGCAACAAACCUAAGCUGUCGUUUCUUAAAGUUUGGGGCUGCGAUGCUUAUGUCAAAAAGUUUUAACCUGAUAAGCUCGAGCCCAAAUCGGAGAAAUAUGUCUUCAUAGGAUACCCAAAAGAAACUAUUGGGUACACCUUCUAUCACAGAUCCGAAGGCAAGAUAUUCGUUGCUAAGAAUGGAUCCUUUCUAGAGAAGGAGUUUCUCGCGAAAGAAGUGAGUGGGAGGAAAGUAGAACUUGAUGAGUUAAUUGUACCUUCUCCCAAAUUGGAAAGUAGUUAAUCACAGAAAUAAAUUCUAGUGAUUCCUACACCAAUUAGUGAGGAAGCUAAUGAUCCUGAAACUUCAGAUCAAGUUACUACCGAACCUCGUAGGUCAACCAGAGUACGGUCCGCACUAGAGUGGUACAGUAAUCCUAUUCUAGAAGUCAUGUUACUAGACCAUGAUGAACCUACGAACUAUGAGGAAGCGAUGAUGAGCCCAGAUUCCGCGAAAUGGAUUGAGACCAUGCAUCUGAGAUAGGAUCCAUGUAUGAGAACAAAGUGUGGACUUUGGUGGACUUGCCCGAUGAUCGGCAAGCCAUUGAGAAUAAAUGGAUCUUCAAGAGGAAGAUGGCCACUAAUAGUAGUGUUACUAUCUACAAAGCUCGAAUUGUCGCAAAAGGUUUUCGACAAGUUCCAGAUGUUGACUAUGAUAAGAUUUUCUUACUCGUAUCGAUGCUUAAAUCCGUCUGAAUCAUGUUAGCAAUUGCCAUAUUUUGUGAGAUCUGGCAAAUGGAUGUCAAAACUGCAUUCCUUAAGUGGACAUUUCUUAAAGAAGGGUUGUAUAUGAUGCAACCGGAUGGUUUUGUCGAUCCUAAAGGUACUAACAAGGUGUGCAAGCUCCAGCGAUCCAUCUAUGGACUGGUGCAAGCAUCUUGGAGUUGGAAUAUACGCUUUGAUGAGUUGAUCAAAGCAUAUGGUUUUAUGUAGACUUUUGGAGAAGCCUAUAUUUACAAGAAAGUGAGUGGGAUUACUACAGCCUUUCUGAUAAGUAUAUGUGAGUGACAUGUUGUUGAUCGGAAAUGAUGUAGAAUUUUCUGGAAAGCAUAAAGGAGAGUUUGAAAGAAGAUUCUCAAAGAAAGACCUCAGUGAUGCUGCUUACAUAUUGGGCAUCAAGAUCUAUAGAGAUAGAUCAAGACGCUUGAUAGGAUUUUUCAAUGAGUACAUACCUUGACAAGAUUUUGAAAGAGUUCAAAAUGGACAGUCAAAGAAGGAGUUCUUGCCUGUAUUACAAGGUGUAAAGUUGAGUAAGACUCAAUGCCCGACCAUGGCAGAAGAUAGAAAGAGAAUGAAAGUCAUUCCCUAUGCCUCAGUCAUAGGUUCUAUAAAGUAUGCCAUGCUAUGUACCAGACCAGUUGUGUGCCUUGCUAUGAGUUUGGCAAGGGGGUACGAUAGUGAUCCAGGAGUGGAUCACUGUAUAGCGGUCAAAUUUAUCCUUAGUUUCCUAAGAGGACUAAGGAAGUAUUUCUUGGUUAUGGAGGUGCUAAAGAGUUCAUCGUAAAGAGUUACGUCGAUGUAAGCUUUACACCAAUCCCGAUGACUAUGGGUCUCAAUCUGGAUACAUAUUGAAAGUGGGAGCAAUUAGAUAGAGUAGCUUCAUGCAGAGCAUUGUAGACAUAGAAAAUUUGCAAAAUACAAACGGCUCUGAAUUUAGCAGGCCCGUUGACUAAACUUCUCUUACAAGCAAAACAUGAUCACACCUUAGUAAUCAUUGCAUAUUAAUCACAUAGCGAUGUGAACUAGAUUAUUGACUCUAGUAAACCCUUUAGUUUUGGUCACAUGGUGAUGUGAACUAUGGGUGUUAAUCACAUACAGAUGUGAAAUAUUGGUGUCAAAUCACAUGGCGACUUGAACUAGAUUAUUGACUCUAGUGCAAGUGGGAUACUGAAUGAAAUAUGCCCUAAAGGCAAUAAUAAAGUUGUUAUUUAUAUUUCCUUAUAUCAUGUUAAAUGUUUAUUAUUCAUGCUAGAAUUGUAUUAACCGGAAACUUAGUACAUAUGUGAAUACAUAGACAAAACAAAGUGUCCCUAGUAUGCCUCUACUUGACUAGCUCGUUAAUCAAAGAUGGUUAUGUUUCCUGCUUAGCAUAUCGAUUGAUAGGUUUUAUUGCUAUUGCUUUCUUCAUGACUUAUACAUGUUCCUAUGAUUAUGAGAUUAUGCAACUCCCGAAUACUAGAGGAACACCUUGUGUGCUAUAAAAUGUCGCAACAUAACUGGGUGAUUAUAAAGAUGCUCUACAGGUGUCUUCGAAGGUGUUUGUUGGAUUGGUAUAGAUCGAGAUUAGGAUUUGUCACUCUGUGUAUCGGAGAUGUAUCUCUGGGCCCUCUCGGUAAUGCUCAUUGAGGGAGUCCUGGAUUAGGGGGUAUCCGGACAGCCGGACUAUAUACUUUGGCCGGACUAUUGGAUCGUGAAGAAACAAGACUCAAGACUUCGUCCCGUGUCUGGAUGGGACUCGCCUUUGCGUGGAAGACAAGCUUGGCGAUCCGGAUAAUAGAUUUCCUUCUUUGUAACUGAAUCUGUGUAAACCCUAGCCCUCUCCGGUGUCUAUAUAAACCGGAGGGUUUAGUCCUUAGAGACAGAAUCAUAAUCAUCAUAGGCUAGCUCCUAAGGUUUAGCCUCUACGAUCCUGUGGUAGAUCAACUCUUGUAAUACUCAUAUCAUCAAUAUCAAUCAAGCAGGAAGUAGGGUUUUACCUCCAUCAAGAGGCCCGAACCUGGGUAAAACAUUGUGUCCCUUGCCUCCUGUUAUCAUUAGCCUUAGAUGCACAGAUCGGGACCCCCUACCCGAGAUCCGCCGGUUUUGACACCGACAUUGGUGCUUUCAUUGAGAGUUCCUCUAUGUCGUCACUGCGAGGCUCAAUGGCUCCUUCAAUCAUUAACAACAAAAUGGUCCAGGGUGAGACUUUUCUCCUUGGACAGAUCUUCGUGUUCGGCGUCUUCGCACUGCGGGCCAAUUCGCUUGGCCAUCUGGAGCAAAUCGACAGCUACGCCCCUGGCCAUCAGGUCAGGUUCGGAAACUUGAACUACACGGCCGAUAUCUGCGGAGACUUGAUCUUCAACGGAUUCGGGCCUGCGCUAGGAGCGCCGAAUAGUCACGAUGGGCAUGGCUUAGACCUGAUGUCGGACAAUACUCGGGAUAUCGCCCCUGCAGGAGCCCCGGACCUAAAUCCAAGGCAGAUUGCGUCGCCCGAGGACGGGUGGAUGGACCCUGCCCCGGAGGCCGCACACCCAUCGGUGGUAGAGCCGAACAUAAACUUCUCCCCUAAGGAAGCCUGUGACACCGGACCCCUGGACUCGUAUCCGGCUGUAGGUUCCAGUCCGUGCACCUCCGAGCCCGCUGAAUCUGGUUGGGCUCCGGUAAUGGAGUUUACCACUGCGGAUAUCUUCUAUCUCUCGCCCUUUGGCGACAUGCUGAACUCGUUAAAGUCUCUCUCUUUGUCAGGAGACUCUUGGCCGAACUAUGUCCGGCUCGAGUGGGAAGCAGGCGACGAAGGAAUUCAUUGCCCACCCACCACCCACUUCAUUGCCACGGUCGAUGAUUUAACCGACGUGCUUGACUUCGACUCUGAAGACAUCGAUGGUAUGGACGACGAUGUAGGAGAAGAACAGGAACCACCGCCCACGGGGCGGUGGACAGCCACCUCCUCAUAUGAUAUAUAUAUAUGGUGGACACUCUGAAAGAAACCAAUGCCGAUGAGGUAAUGGAGGAUAACCCCUCAAGGAAGAAAGCUAAGCAUGGGCGUCGUCGGCGCCGCUCCAAGCCCCGCCAUAGCAAUACCGGCACAGGAGACGAAAACAAUCCGGAUGGUGCCGAAGAUGAAUACAACCCCGAUCAGCCUACCUUCGAGCAGGCCGAACAGGAAUACGGGCAGGUCAACCCAGACGAACAGGCGACAGACGGAUAUCGAGAGGAGGACAACUACAUGCCCCCCUCCGAAGAUGAGAUUAGCCUCGGCGACGACGAGUUCGGCGUGCCUGAGGACCCCGUGGAGCAGGAGCGCUUCAAGCGCCGGCUUAUGGCCACUGUGAGGAGCCUGAAAAAGAAGCAGCAGCAGCUCCAAGCUGAUCAAGAUCUGCUCACAGACAGAUGGACUGAAGUCCUGGCAGCUGAGGAAUAUGGACUCGAGCGCCACACGGCUAACCGGGCACCUCGUGGCCGGGAUAAAACGGCGUAUCAGCCUGAAUACCAGCCCGCACCACUACGCCAAUGCACUACGGCCCGGGGCAAUAGGCAGGACCUGCAAGAUAUACUGGAAAAGAAGGCAGGACAGCCAAGAUCGAUCUAUGGAUCACGGGGGUGCACCCCAACACAUGACGAUGAUCGUCAUGCCGGAUACACUAUCAACAAGUCCGGCCGGGCCGAAUACAGCCAACUAGAAUCAUUCGAACUGCGUAGCCACAUAGCUCGGCAUAGAGGCGCCGCACACCCCCUCUGCUUCACUGACGAAGUGAUGGAUCAUGAAUUCCCGGAAGGGUUUAAACCCGUAAACAUCGAAUCAUACAAUGGCACAACAGACCUCGCAGUAUGGAUUGAAGAUUUCCUUCUCCACAAUCACAUGGCCCGCGGAGACGAUCUACACGCCGUCAAAUAUCUUCCCCUUAAGCUCAAAGGACCGGCCCGACACUGGCUAAACAGCCUGCCGGCAAAUUCCAUUGGCAGUUGGGAAAACCUGGAUGAUGCGUUCCUCGACAACUUCCAGGGCACAUACGUGCGACCACUGGAUGCCGAUGACUUGAGCCACAUUACCCAACAGCCCGGAGAGUCAGCCAGGAAAUUCUGGACUCGGUUCCUAACCAAAAAGAACCAAAUAGUCGACUGUCCGGACGCCGAAGCCCUGGCGGCCUUUAAGCAUAAUAUCCGUGACGAGUGGCUCGCCCGACACCUCGGCCAGGAAAAACCAAAGUCCAUGGCGGCCCUCACGACACUCAUGACCCACUUUUGCGCUGGUGAGGACAGCUGGUUGGCUCGUAGUAGCACCACGCCAAUAAAUUCCAGCACCUCAGAUGUCCACGACAACAACGGCAAGCCACGACACAACAGACAUAAGCGAGAGAACAACGACGACAACACUGAAGACACGGCAGUCAACACCGGAUUCAGUGGCUCGAAAUCCGGUCAGCGGAAAAAACUGUUCAAAAGAAACAAUCAGGGACCGUCUAGUCUGGACCGCAUACUUGACCGCUCGUGUCAAAUUCAUGGCACCCCAGAUAAGCCAGCAAACCACACUAAUAUAGACUGUUGGGUGUUCAAACAGGCCGUUAAAAUAAAUGCCAAAAACAAGGACAAGGGGCUGCACAGCAAUGAUGAUGAGGAGCCCCGGCAUCCGAACACGGGGGACAGAAGAAAUUUCCUCCCCAGGUGAAAACAGUCAACAUGAUCUACGCCACCCACAUUCCCAAACGGGAACAGAAGCGAGCACUACGGGACGUCUAUCUGAUGGAGCCAGUCGCCCCAAAAUUCAACCCAAGGUUAGCCUGUCUGAUCACCUUUGAUCAUAGGGAUCACCCUACCAGCAUCCGUCACGGCGGUUCAGCCGCAUUGGUCAUAGACCCAAUCAUCAACGGAUUCUACCUCACGCGAGUCCUUAUGGAUGGUGGCAGCAGCCUGAACCUGCACUAUCAGGCCACAGUGCGCAAAAUGAGCAUCGACCCUUCAAGGAUCAAGCCCACCAAAACUAACUUCAAAGGUGUAAUCCCAGGAGUAGAGGCCCGUUGCACGGGCUCCAUAACACUGGAAGUGGUCUUCGGACCUCCGGAUAACUUUUGAAGCGAGGAGUUAAUCUUCGAUAUUGUCCCUUUCCAUAGUGGUUAUCAUGCACUGCUUGGACGAACCGCAUUCGCUCGAUUCAAUGCGGUACCCCACUAUGCAUACCUCAAGCUCAAGAUGCCAGGACCUCGUGGGGUCAUAACAGUCAAUGGAAACAUGGACCACUCUCUUCGUACAGAAGAGCAUACUGCAGCCCUCGCAGCAGAAGUACAAUGCAGCCUUCUCCGGCAAACUACCAAUCCGGCGACAACAACCCCGAACACCGCCAAGCAAGUCCGAAGUACCCCGCAACAGGAUCGCCAGGCACACCAGGAGUGUGACUAGCAGUCCGGCCUCCGCUCCAGCCCCAUCAAGGCAGCAUUCGUGCCACGCGUACACAAUUACGCACUCAAAAUACCAUGGGCAUAGGCGGAGGCGCAAUAGUGACUCAGUCAACAAUGCGAUACAGUCGCAACAUACUUUAAUAACCCCCCUUUAUCUUUCAGGAGACUGCUUUCGAGCAGCCUCUUCAGAAGAGCCGGAUUGUCGGACUUGCACAAGAGAGAAACGCAAGGAGGCAAAAGGCUUUGCGCACAAAGGAAAUACCUAGGUGUGAUCUGUUCACGAUCGUUAUACCUGUUUUAUAUACCUACAUGCGGCCUGCCCUUGGAUAGGACAUGUUAAAUAGUCCUAUUUGUUGGGGAACGUUACAGAAAAUAAAAAAUUUCUACGCUUCACCAAGAUCAAUCUAUGGAGUCAUCUAGCAACGAGAGAGAGGAGUGCAUCUACAUUCCCUUGUAGAUCACACGCGGAAGCGUUCAAGAGAACGGGGUUGAGGGAGUCGUACUCGUCGUGAUCCAAAUCACUGAAGAUCCUAGUGCCGAACGGAUGGCACCUCCACGUUCAACACACGUACAUACGGUUGGGGAAGAUGUCUCCUCCUUCUUGAUCCAGCAAGGGGGAGGGAGAGGUUGAUGGAGAUCCAGCAGCACGACGGCGUGGUGGUGGAAGCAGCAGCGAUCUCGGCAGGGCUUCACCAAGCUCUACGAGAGGGAGAGGUGUUGCGGAGGGAGAGGGAGGCGCCAGGAGCAGGGGUGCGCAGCCCUCCCUCCCCCUCUUUAUAUAGGGGCCCUGGGGGGGCGCCGGCCCCUGGNNNNNNNNNNNNNNNNNNNNNNNNNNNNNNNNNNNNNNNNNNNNNNNNNNNNNNNNNNNNNNNNNNNNNNNNNNNNNNNNNNNNNNNNNNNNNNNNNNNNNNNNNNNNNNNNNNNNNNNNNNNNNNNNNNNNNNNNNNNNNNNNNNNNNNNNNNNNNNNNNNNNNNNNNNNNNNNNNNNNNNNNNNNNNNNNNNNNNNNNNNNNNNNNNNNNNNNNNNNNNNNNNNNNNNNNNNNNNNNNNNNNNNNNNNNNNNNNNNNNNNNNNNNNNNNNNNNNNNNNNNNNNNNNNNNNNNNNNNNNNNNNNNNNNNNNNNNNNNNNNNNNNNNNNNNNNNNNNNNNNNNNNNNNNNNNNNNNNNNNNNNAGCAGCGCGGGUUUUAGAUGUAUCAGUAGCGUGGGUACAGGCGCUACUAAUAAGGCGCUACAGCUAACACAUAGCAGUAGCGCGUGCACACCGGCGCUAUUGCUACACAAGUGUAGCAGCAGCGCGGUUAGAGGAAGCUCGCUACUGCUAGUAGCGCUAGUGCGCUUUGCUUGGACGCGCUGCUGCUAUUGAGGCGCUGCUGCUAACUUUUAUACACUCGCUACUGCUAAUUUAAGUAGUUUUUUUUGGCAUAUUUGUUUUGUAUUUGAACAUGCUUUGUAGAAGAAUCUUUAGCACAUAGAAAUGUCAUCAUGAUACACAUACAAAUGCAUGCGAGACCACAAAUGUAAUCAUAGCAUGUACAUACAAAUAGUCUCAUCAUAAUCAUCAUCCAACACAAAGUGAUAUCUUGUCAUCAUCUCGAAAAUAGCGAUACAUGCAAGUCUCGAAUACUUGCAACUACAACAACAUCAUCCAUCUAAACAAAGGUAUACGCAAGAAGUGCUAUCACUAUGAGUGAGAGCGGAACUAUGCAGUACAUGUGGUGGCGGUUACGAGUCCUCUCUCGCGCUAGCGUGAACCUCAAGUAACUAGCUUCUCCUUCUUGUCUGCUUUUGAAGCCUUUAUGGCUGGCGCCCGUGAACCCAUUCACUUGCGCCUAACACUCAUGCCACUCGUUGUACACCCCCGGAACCUUCCCUUUGUACAUGACAUAGCAUUUCCAUCUCGCCAUCAAGAAACUAGGUACCUAUUAGAGAUGCAUGUUCAUGAAGAGGAUGUACAAUCAUAUAUAUGCAACAAAAUAUACUAGAGCAACACCAAAAAAGACAGGUUUAGCAACUAGAUGCAACAUAUACAGUACGCAAAUUAAUUAACUAGAGGUACGCAGGUCAUUUUACGCAAACUAACAAAGUAGCGUUACGCAAGUUCGGCAGGGACCGUGGACAUCAAAAAGUUUCAUCGCUACAAAAAGUAUACAAGUUCAACCGACACAUACCAUCAUCAUCGGCAUCAUAAAUCACUAGAAGUUCCAUCCUUCCAUAUCAUCGAGGACGAACCCUAGCUUCUUGAGCGGCGUGAGGUCUAUACGUUGCAUGCCUAUGCGAGUUCGGACGUCAGCUCGCGAUAUAGGGCCGUGGUGGAACAUCCCCUUCUCAUCGACGACUUCUUUCAUGAUGAUCGUCGCAAUGUCGCUUUAGAUGCGAAAGAAGUCAUCUCUAAGUUUUUAAUUCGCUUCUCCAUGAGAUUCUAGCCACUUGUGGAUAUGAUCAUCAUUUCUGCUGUUAAUGCGAAGCUUUUGGUGAUCCGUGUUGAACUGAAUCAUGAGAUGGACGAUGUAGAAUCCAUCCUUCUUGCUUGGUUUUGGGACAUGGAUGCAGGAGAAGUUAGUUUUAUGCGCGAAACCCAUCUUCUUGUUCCUUUGUUUCAUGAUCUGCACGUGGCCACCUCUAAAGCUGAAGCUAGGGCUGGACCAAAAGCUCGUAGCUCGUGAGCUUAAUGAGCGCUCGAUAGUUCGGCUCGUUAAGCUCAUAGCUCGCUUCUUAAUGAACAGAGCCAAUCAUUGAUUAUAGCUCGUUAAGCUUAAAGAGAUUAACGAGUGAGCUAACGAGUUUCACGAGUAGCUCAUUAAGCUCGUUAGCAACAACACAACACAUAUUUUUAUCUUAUGUGACAAACUUUUUGUAGCAUCUCAGCCCAUCUAUUUAAUCUAAUCGACAUAUGAGGCAACAAACCACUUCAUUUCUUUUUGUAGUCACCAUAUUUCAUCUUGAAAACCAUACCUACACAUUCAUCAUGUAUAUCAUAACAUAUUAUAAUCUGUUAACGAGCGCUCGCGAGCGCUCACGAGCUUAACGAGCUUCAAACGAGCCGAGCCGAGCAGGGUUUUCUGCUCGUUAAUCUUAACGAGCUUAACGAGCCGAGCCUUAACGAGCACGAGCUUAACGAGUACGAGCUUAACGAGUACGAGCUUAACGAGCCGAGCUGCUCGUUAGUCCACCCCUAGCUGAAGCCUUGGAGAGCAUCAUCUAGAAUAUUCAUUAUGUGGGUGUAGUCCUUUUUCUCGUAGUCUCUGGAAGGGUCAAAAUACACGGCGUGGGAGACUUGAGGGUAAAGAACGAUAAGGACGGCACGCCCGUUGCUGCGGGGAAAAGACACCUCAAAUUAUUCCCCAUAUGAGAGAGAAGGAAUGAUUGAAAUGUACGAAAGGGUUGUCCGGAACUGACUUACUUUGGAUGAUAAGGCACGAGGACAAUUUCCCGGUCCUUAUUCUGUACCAUGAAGUUUUGGAGGUACUCCCUAGCAGUUUCACGCUCAAAGUCGCCGAGACUCAGGAAAGACUCGUGCAUGUAGUACGGAUCCGCCACACAGAUUUGCGAGACUUCUUCACUCUUCAUGACGGAGCUCAUAUGUAGCGCAAAAAGGCGGACGAUAGUAAAAUCAAGCCGCCUUGUUAGAAACAUCUCAAAGAUAUGGUCAAACCGCAGGAAGAACACCUCCGCGGGCCGUGUGUCGACGUAGCACUUCCCCUCAGGCACAUGAGCGGCAUAUGUUGGAUAUCCUGGAUCCUUUGAGGCUAGUAGGCUUUUCUCAGUCGACAACACAUGGUCGUGCAGUCUCCUGAGAUCCCCUGAUAGUGCCUCCAGCGGUUUCGGCGGUAGCAUCGGCUCGCCCGUGAGAUGGAACAUGACCGCACCUUUCACGGGUACACGCUCUUCAGAAUGCAUCGUCUGGCUGCUAUGUGCUCUGGCUUGUUUGGAGGCAGUUACCUUCCCCGAUCUCUUCCUCUCCUUUUUCUUGGGCACACCUUCCAGACCCUUCCUUAACCCCUGCCCCAGUGUUCCCGGGCUAAGUACUGUACGACCCUCGCGCCCGGCUAGUUGAGCCUGUGUUGAGGCGGCAUCUUCAGGCGUGUCCUGUGAGGAUUUCAUGAAGAGAGACUUUUUGCAAUCCAUCGUACGACCCUGCCCGGGCAUAUCAUGCAUAUCGUCAUUAGCAAGCUGAUAGCCCGAUUCAUCAUAUGGUUGACUCAUCAUAUCUAUGUCACAGUCAUACGCGUUUGUAUUGAGGUAAUCCAUAGGGUCGACCUCCGUCUCAUCAUCCAUUCUCUGUUCUACAGGAGAAAUUACAUCAGCCAGUACUAUUGCACCCCCUUCAUCAUGUCGUCCGCCGCUCUCACCCGGCACUACAGGAGCUGGUAAUUGCGUAGGCGGGGUGGUGGUCUCCGCACAUGCUUGUUGAUGUGUGGUAGUUAUUGGUGUGCUCUCGGCCGGCUCCAGACGAAUAAGAGUCUUUGGCCAUAGCAGUACCCAACCCUUGCAGCUUCCAAUCCAUGGUGGGGUCUCGUCGUCCGCCCCCACAUGCUGCACUGGAGGAGGCAAAUCCUCAUGCCCCGAUUUCACACUGGUCAAGCUAACCCUGAAGUGCCCAGCGGGGAUUGGCUGGUUGUGGAACGUGCGGUGAGAGGGGUCCAUUAUUAUCCCCUUUCCCACGUCCACCUUCUGGCCUUUGAUCAAGUAGAGUAUGGUGCACGGGGUUUCUUUCGCCUGCAAACACAUAUGUCUGUGGCGUAAAACAAGCGAAAGGCAACAAAAAUGGAAUAUUAUCUAUAUAUAUAUGUUGGUGCAACAUGUAAUUACUGUGACGGCGUCGAGCUCAGCCAAAGACGACGGCCCACCUAGCGCGCCUGAGACUGUGGACGGGCUGCUAUGAGCGGGAGCGGCUGCGAGAGGAGGCCCGGUUGCUUGAGAAAGUGAUGGUGCGAUGGUGUUGUUGUUCAUGGAGUUGCUCGCGACGAAACUGGGCAUCGGGAAAUCAUGUACCGUCUUUUCUGGAUUUUCGUUCGCCCAGUUGAUGAUAACUGGAACCAAGUUAGUAGCAAAAUCAUUUCUGCAGGCAGUUACAGCUGCAUUGACUGCCUGCUGUAGCAACUUAUAUUUGUCCUCGGCUGCUUUUUUCGCGUCCUCAGCUGCUUUUUUCUCGACCGCAAGCUUCACCUUUGCGUUGAUGUCCGCCUGACUAAACUUCUUUUUCUGCUUCUUGGCCUCCGGGCCGUCGUUGUAAAACACCUUCCAUGUGGCGCCGUCUCCAGCGCCGUGCACACGACCAUAUUGCGGCCGCUGGUCCAAAGGGAGUCCGUUAAGUUCGUUCAAGGCCCGGUUGAGAGGGGUGUCCCACUUGGGCCUCAUCGGAGAAGUAGGGCUUUCGGCUACAAGCCGGUGUUGCUUCUCCAGUAGUCUAAUCAAUUUCCUCAUGAUCUUGUCCAUGUAAAAAACCUUUUUCUCCUUGUCCCACUUGUAGCGGGCCCUGAUGAAGUCAUGCUCCAAGGGGUUGGUGAACUUCGCGAAGGGGUCUGGGAGACCCGCGUCUUCACGUUCCGCGUCCUCCUUAUCGCAUAUGGGCCUUUUACCGAGGUAGCCACGGCUUCCGAGGCGAUGCUUCCCCGUGUUCCUUUGCUGAAGGCUUUUGAAUUUCGCAGCCUUAGCCUUGGCUGCCUCGGUAGCGCAAGUGUCCUUGAACUUUUCGAACUCCUCUUCCGUAAGUGUCGGAUUUUCCUCCAGAAACUUGGACAGGGGUUCAUCAGCCUUAAUAGCUCGUUUCACCCUCCCUUUCCAGGAGGCCAAAUCAUUGCUGAACAUGCCCAUGACGUGAUUGUUAAUCUUUUUCAUCUUCGGAUCAUCCCACAAUUGUUCUAUGUUAUCAUCCCUGUCGGGGAACUUGAAUCUCUUAUGCAACUUCGUUAGGAGCAACUGCGUCAAAUGUUCUUUACUCCUUAAGUCAUCGUCGUUGAUGCUCGCGCAUUCCCGUAGGAUGCAUCCUACUUGGUUCCCAUAGCACUUGCGAGGUUCUUCCAGCUCUAACGGCUCAAACUUGCCAGGUGCCAUCUUUGUGAUCACAAGUCGUCCAAUCCCUAGUUUGUUAGGUUUUCGUAUCCUCUGCUUCUUAUGCUUCCUCUUUUCGGUAGCGGCAUCGGGGCCGGUACGUUCCCCGCCGGUACCUUCCCCACCGAUCUCGGUGCCGCCAUCGGUGCCGGCACCGUCGGUGUCGAUGUCGGCGUCAGUACCAUCAUCGAGGCCGACCUGCAAACCUUGCUUAGCAGUCAAAUAGUCGAGGUACUCUUGUUCACCCUCAUAAUCCAUCUCGUCUGCAUCUUGGUCAGAAGGCCCAGUUUCUUCGUUGUUCGACAUGUUUCCUAUGAUUAAGUGUCCUCAUUUAUUUCUAAAAGUAUGAAUAAAUGACAAAUGAAAUAAAAAGAAAUAUAUGUGCCAGCACUCGAUAUGCCAACUAUGUAGCACAAAUCAUGCCUUUAUUCACGGGAAACUUCGGCAUGACCUUUGCUAAAAAAUGGACAUAUCGAGCGCCUGAAAUUCACCAGAACGGAAAUGAAUCAACAUUCCGGCGUAACAUAGGCCACUCGGAUCAUUUUCCAAACAUGACAUGUCCAAAACAUGACAUAUGCACAUAUCACAUGUCCAGUUCAAAUUUGCAUAUAAAUUCAACUAAUUUUGAAACCUAGCUAAAUUCAUAACUAAAUAGAUAACCUAAUUAACAUAACCGAAGAACCCUAGCAGAGAGAGGGGGGGCUUUACAGAGGGUGCAGGGGCGAGGAGGCAGGCCCNNNNNNNNNNNNNNNNNNNNNNNNNNNNNNNNNNNNNNNNNNNNNNNNNNNNNNNNNNNNNNNNNNNNNNNNNNNNNNNNNNNNNNNNNNNNNNNNNNNNNNNNNNNNNNNNNNNNNNNNNNNNNNNNNNNNNNNNNNNNNNNNNNNNNNNNNNNNNNNNNNNNNNNNNNNNNNNNNNNNNNNNNNNNNNNNNNNNNNNNNNNNNNNNNNNNNNNNNNNNNNNNNNNNNNNNNNNNNNNNNNNNNNNNNNNNNNNNNNNNNNNNNNNNNNNNNNNNNNNNNNNNNNNNNNNNNNNNNNNNNNNNNNNNNNNNNNNNNNNNNNNNNNNNNNNNNNNNNNNNNNNNNNNNNNNNNNNNNNNNNNNNNNNNNNNNNNNNNNNNNNNNNNNNNNNNNNNNNNNNNNNNNNNNNNNNNNNNNNNNNNNNNNNNNNNNNNNNNNNNNNNNNNNNNNNNNNNNNNNNNNNNNNNNNNNNNNNNNNNNNNNNNNNNNNNNNNNNNNNNNNNNNNNNNNNNNNNNNNNNNNNNNNNNNNNNNNNNNNNNNNNNNNNNNNNNNUACCGUCGCUACAGCCAGUUUUCCUUUUUCUUUUCCUUUAUUUUAUCCCACUUUUAUUUCCCGAGGGCAGUGAACGAAGGGAGGGCAAUAUAUAUUGCAUCAUUUGACAUUUAAAUAUGUAUGCAAAAUAGGAACAUAUAUAUUACACAUCAUUGGACCCAUGCAUAAUAAUGGCUAAGUGUGUAUACAAAAUAGGAACAUAUAUAUAUAUAUAUAUAUAUAUAUAUAUAUAUAUAUAUAUAUAUUACACAUCAUUGGACCGAUAACAUAAGUUUCCUCAGUGCUGGCGUUUUCGUUUUUGAGUCAGCUUCUUUCCCUUCUUGUUCGUCGAAGAAUAAUUGAGCCCCUCAUUGUGACUUUGCCUUUUCCAUGGAGUAUGAUUUUUCUUAGGUAAUGUAGUAUUGAUUCUUCUUUUGACGUAUACUUCAUUAUCAUCGUCAUCUUCCCUCAUUGGGUUGCCGUACUGAUCAUAGUCUUCCUCGUUGGCGACUCCAUCCAUUCCAAUGAUGUUCCUUUUGCCUCUCCUCACGACAACACGAUUGGGAUUGCGCGGGUCAGUUAUGAAGAAGCAUUGUGUCACGUGCUUAGCGUGUACCCAUGGCUCGUUUUUUGCGAUAGCGUUCACGGUAGCGCUCUUGGCGUCGGGUAUAGUCAUGGUAGUGAACAUCCGGCUUUCUCUUUCGACAUUCUUAGCCCAUAUGACACGGAACAUCGUCGUGUUGUGCAGUCCAGAGUAGUCAAGCUCCCAGAUCUCCGCGACCCUUCCAUAAAAUCGUUCAGUUGCGCCGUUGUCGCUGCCGGUCAUGCAUUCCAUCGUCACCCCUGAGUUCUGAUCAUCACUGUCCAUAUCUUUCGCCUCCGUGUAGAACGUGUAUCCGUUGAUAUCAUAUGCCUGAUAGGUUACGAGGUUGGGUGAGGGGCCAUGUGCUAAGGCGUAUAUGAGCAAUCCAUCCUUAGAGCCCUCCUCCGGGGGAUUAGCAAUAAUAUGCUCUUUGAACCAAUGCAGGAAAGUGGAGUUGUGCUCUCUAGUAACUUCGGCGUCCGUCCUGCAUACCCCCCGGUCACGAUACUUCUUUGCGAUAAUUUCUUUGUGCAGUGCCACGAAAGGAUCUACCUCGUCUAGGUGUUGUAGCACUACCAAGUUUUCUCUGUCAAAGUCGCUGCGUCGAUCUGAGUAUACCACGUGCAGUUCCCUGCGACCGUUGCAGUGACCAUCUCCUUCGAGCCUCCCAUCGUUCUUGUUAAUGGGCAAACCAACACUAACACCAGGCGGUUGGUCUGCGCCAUAUAGAAAAUUCUCGCAGAAAGAGAUGCACUCUUGUGCCAAAUAGCCCUGGACGAUGCUUCCAUCCGGACGGGACAUGUUACGAAGGAAUCCUUUGAUGAUCCUAUUCAUCCUCUCAAACGGCAUCAUGUUGUGCAGGAAUGAUGACCCCAGGUCUAUUAUGUCAUCCACAAUAUGGACACACAGAUGCACCAUCACGUCAAAGAACGCGGGCGGGAAGUACAGCUCAAGAUCAUUCAGUAUCACAACGAUCUCUUCCUGUAGCCUUUGGAGCUGCUUCACACUGAUCGACUUUCGAGAGAUGACGUCGAAAAAGUUGCAGAGACCAAUAAGCGUGUCACGGACGUGCUUGUCCAUUAUCCCUCUAAGGGCAAUAGGUAGUAUCUGCAUCAUCAUCACAUGACAGUCAUGAGACUUCAUCCCGUUGAACCUUUUCUUGUCCGUGUCUAGAUAUCUGCUUAUCUUGCCACAGUAACCGGAACUUACUUUGACUCCGGUAAGGCACUUAAAGAAUUGAUUGAUCUCAGCCUGACUUAAGGUGAAGCAAGAAGGGGGGCAAUAAUCCUCUUUCUUUAUUUUCUUGCCCUUCUUCUCCCGUGCCUCUGUCUCCGUCUCUGUCUCAUCUAACAUUUUAUGGGGCGGCAUGUGCAGAUCUUCCCUGAUUUUCAAAUCUUGCAAGUCUUUUCUUGCCUUCGGCCCAUCCUUGGUCUCAUCCGGCAUGUUCAUCAGUGUUGCGAGCAAGCUCUCAAGGACAUUCUUACAGAUAUGCAUUUGACCAAGGCAAUGAGGUGUAUCGAGUUUGUGCCAGUACUCCAAGUCCCAGAACACAGGCCUCGUCUUCCAUACCUUCAGCAGCGGCUCCGGCGCCUUUCUCAUCGUCUUUCCCGGCGCGGGGCACUCCUUCCAGUUUUUCAACAUCUCAUCAAUUUCGGCACCGCUCCGCUUACGUGGAGGUCCUCGAUGCUCAGCGUGACCAUUGUAUAGAUCUCCACGGUUUCUCCAUGGGUCGUCCUGUUCAAGCCAUCUUCGAUGCCCCAUGUACACGAUUUUCCCAGACCCGCCAUCUUUCCUUGACGUUAGCUGCUGAGACGUCGUAUCAUCCAUGCACCACGUGCAUCCGCAAUAUCCAUGGCACACCUGGCCUGCCACAUAUCCGUAACCGAGAUAGUCCUGCACUGUCGUGAUUAGCGCGGCUCUCAUGUUGAAAUACUCACCUUUGCUGGCGUCCCAUGUCUUGGCCGGUGUUUUCUAUAACAUGUCUAACUCCUCUUGAAGUAGCCCCAGAUACAAAUUAAUAUUAUUUCCUGGUUGUUUCGGCCCUUGAAUAAGCAUGCUCAUGUGAAUGUACUUCGAUUUCAUGCACAACCAGGGGGGAGGUUGUACAUCCAUACAAACACGGGCCAUGUGCUAUGGUUGGUGUUCUGGUUGCCAAACGGAUUCAUGCCAUAGGUACACGCACCGAGCACGAUGUUCCUUGCAUCACAUUCAAAAUACCGAUAGAAGCUGUUCAACGCUCUCCACUGGCUUCCAUCCUUCACGUGUCUCAGCUUCGGAUCGUCUCCAUCGUCGGGCUUCUUCCUCUCCGCGUGCCAGCGCAUUAGCUUAGCUUCCUUGGAAUCUACAAAAUACCUCUGGAGACGGGGAGUGAUCGGUAAGUACCAUACAACUUUCUGGGGACAUUUCUUCCCGGCCUUCUUGUAUCGAGAAGCAUUGCACACCGGACAGCUUGUUUUUUCCGCGUGCUCCUUCUGAUAAAUUAUGCAAUUGUUGAUGCAUGCAUGGUAUCUAACAUGUGGUAGAUCAAGAGGGCACACAAUCUUCUUGGCCUCAUCAACACUAGUAGGACAUAGAUUACCUGCGGGAAGAACAUCCUUUAGGUACUUGAGAUGCUCAUCGAGGCUAGUGUCGGUCCACUUGUUUUAGCCUUCGUCUUCAGGAGUUGGAGCGUGAAACUCAAGCGGGUCACCUCAGGAUUGCAACCAUCAUACAAUGGAGUGUUCGAGUCUACCACCAGUUGCUCCAGCUUAGCCUCCUCUCUAGAAGCAGCUCUCUCAGUACUCGUCUCCUUGCGAAGCAAUGCUUGAACAUGAGGGUCCCGCACAAUUGAACUUAGUACCGACGAACUCUGCUGCGUGGAGUCCAUGUCGUUCUCUCCGCCGCCAUGUGUCGGUGUACUAAAGUAGGGGUACCUUAGUACCCCGAACUUGUGCACGGGCAGUCGCAGCGUCCCGCGGCAAGGCUUGCCGGGCGUCCGCCAAGAUCCCCCGCCAUUCCUAUUUACUGCCAUUCAAGAACAAAGUGUUAGCUGAGAAGACAGAACCCUAGCAAGAGGAGCUUGCCGGGAGGGACAAGACCCCGACAAGAGGAGCUUGCCGGGGAGGCCAACCAAGGCAUUUCAAGAGACUUGCCGCGACGCUCCGCGCGUCCCGGCAAGACCCAGCGAGCGGCAAGCUUGCGGGUGCGACAAGACUGCAACCGCGGCAAGGCGCUUGCCGCGGCGAAGCCACCACUCUGCGCCCACGCUCCAGCACAUCCGACGACGUGUCGCCAUAGAAUCGCUCCUGGUGCACGUGGCGGGUAGCUGUGCAGCAUAGCGGUGCGAGGUGGCAAACAAAGAUGACAAGGAGGCCAUCGUGGCGAUCGGUGGCGCCCCUAACGGUGGUUUCCUACACUAUUUGAGCGACCAGACGGGCAUUAAAUGCCCUUGUCCCCUACCGUCAGAGUUAGGUAGGGGGCACUGUUGGUAGCAGUUGUACCAACUCGCGUUUUUACUCUUUUACCCCUCUUUCUACGCUGCCACCUGUCGGCGACCCCUUUAACCUAUAAAAAGGAGGCCCAUGCGCACGUAGAAAGGGGUCGGUUCAGCAGAACUCACUCGACACCACAACACACCCACGCUUUCGAGCAAGAACAGAAUAGAACACAAAGUAGCAGUAGGAUUUUUAUCUCUCCGGAGAGCUCCGAAGCUGGGUAAAAAUCCCCCGCGUGCUUUCGCCUCGAUCUGCUCUGCGUGCGCCCUCCGCUCCCUUGCCGGACAAGAAAAGGGGCCCUGCCCCAUAGGUGCUCGUUCCCCACGACAUCUCUGGCGCGCCAGGUAGGGGGGCGUCGAGGUCGUGCGUAUCUGAUCUGGCGUCCGCGCGCGCUACAUCAACAUCUACAUCGACAUGCCACCGAAGAAGAAGACUUCGGAGGUGGCCGCUCCGUCUGCGACUGUCCUGCCGCCACCGGAGCAAACGGGCGGUGGGGUGGACGCCGGCGGAGGAGCGGGCGCCGACGGUGGGACUCGCGUCAUCACCAGGUCCAAGGACAAGGCCCCGCAAGGUUCAGCAUCUGCACAUCCGCCACACCCCUCCCAGGAGGUGCAGGAUCGACAACGCCAUGGUGCUCCUAGCACCGUACUCGCGUUGGAACAAGGCCAAGCUGGUGGGUCGCGGGACGCUCAAGGCCAACGCACGCGUCAGCACGCCGGCACGAGCGCAGUGCGGUCGCCUGGACGAGAUGUUGGUCCUUCUAACACUGUUAGAAGUUUGAGCAUGUCCGGCACCUCGCGUCGCUCGCCACCGCCACCCAACACUCCAGAGGAAGCGCUGGCCCGAGCCUAGCUGCUUCUAGAUUACCCUCCAGCGCCAGACAAGAUCGACGACUGGAGGGCCGCCAUUCAGAGCCUCAUUGGCUUCGCCAACGGCGACAAGCCCCGGCAACCGAGCGCAUCGAAGCCCCGGCAAGAGGCCCAGGCGCAAGCCGACGCCAACAAGACCACUGGGGGUGCCACCACUGUGCACUCCCCGCCCCGAAGGCCAAGAUUGCCGACUCGCCGGGCCAACCUCGACACCGACUCCACCGCGUCGUCGGACCCGCGAGCUCGCCGCGAUCAACGCCAAGUUCUCCAAGAACGACGACACGAAGACACUCGCACUCGCAUCGAGCGUCGAAGAGAAGCGCGACGUCAAUCUGACCAGUGCACUGGGCCCACUGUCGAUAUGCAUGCGCCAGGGGAACCAGGCGACUUGCCAUACGCGGUAGGUUGCCCUGCGUUCACCCGUGAGCUGCGGCAGGUCGAGUGGCCCAGUACCAAGAACUUCAAGCCAGACGUGCCCGAGAAGUAUGAUGGCAGGAUACAUCCGUCAGAGUUCCUCAGCGUCUACACCAUCGCGGUGCAGGCUGCCGGGGGGCGCGACGAGAAGAUCCUCGCUAACUACUUCCCGCUGGUGCUCAAGCCCAACGUCAGAUCUUGGCUCAUGCACUUGCUGGACAACUCCAUCUCUUCGUGGGCGGACCUGUGUCAUCAGUUUGUCGGCGCCUUCACAGGCGGCCACAAACCCCAUGGCCAGGAGAGCGAUCUUCAUCUGCUCGCCCAGAAGGAAGGAGAACCCCUGCGCAAGUAUAUACAGAGAUUCAGUCAGGUGCAGCGCAACAUCCCAGACGUCCACCCUGCCGCGGUUAUCAGCGCGUUCCAUCAGAACGUGCAUAACCGUAGGAUUAGGGAGGAGAUGGUGAUGUGCAAAAUCAGAGAUGUCAGCGAGCUAUAUGCUCUAGCCGACAAGUGUGCACGGGCUGAAGAGGGGAGGAGACUCCCCGGAGAGAACGCAAGAGCAGAAGGAUCUGACAGUGAGGACGCCCCUCCGGCAAAGAGGAACCGGAGGCGAAAUAACAGAAAGAGGAAAGCUAAGGAUGUUCUAGUUGUUGAGCAGUCCGGCAAUGGAGGCGGUUCCGAGAAGGCCAAAACUGGUGACUCCGGCAAGGCUGUGGUAGCCGCCGACAAGCAGGACGGCUCCGGCAAGCAGUACUACAAGAUCCACCGCACCAAGGGCCACGACCUCCAAGCUUGCAAGAAGGUUGAGCAGAUGGCAGAGCUACAGAAAGCUGAAUACGAGCGCCGCGACAAGGAGAAGGCCCAUGAAGGUGGCGGAGGAUCCGGCAAGAAGCGUCCCGCCCGGGGAGGGCGCCGCGGCAAGGCCAAGCAGCGCCAAGGAGAUAGGCCUCCCCGUGGCCGCGACAAAGACGAAGACGAAGAUGAAGAUGAUGAUAUGGAGGAGGAUGAGACUGAUGAGCAGGAGUUUCAGAAGGCAACAGAGGUGUUGUGCGUCGACGGCGGUGCUUCUCUGCACACCUCGCACCGCCAACUCAAACAGUGGGUGCGGGAAGUGAACGCAGCAGAACCGUCCGUUGAGUCACGCAAGCCCCUGAAGUGGUCCAGCACGCCCAUCAUCUUCGACGUUGAGGAUCACCCUGAUCGCAUCACUGCGGUCGGGUGCUUGCCGAUGUUGGUUUCGCCAACAAUCCGCAACCUCAACGUCACGAAGAUGCUGGUUGACGGCGGGGCCGGCCUGAAUCUGAUCUCCUCCGCAGUGCUCAAGAAGCUCCAGAUCCCCGACAGCGAGCUCGAAGAGACUGGUACCUAUCAAUGAAUAAACCCAGGAAGGAGCAAGCCGAAGGGGAAGAUCACGCUGCCGGUGACAUUUGGUAGCGAGUUGAAUUUCAGGACAGAGAGAGUCACAUUUGACGUUGCUGAUUUCCCAUUGCCCUACAAUGGGAUACUUGGCCGUCCAGCGCUUGCCAAGUUCAUGGCAGCCUCUCACUACGCCUACAAUGUGCUCAAGAUGCCUGGUCCGAUAAGUGUUAUUUCCGUCCAUGGCGACAAGAAAGAUGCACUUAUCUGUACCGACAAGAUCUACCGGGAAGCAGCAGCCGCCGCAGAGCGCAAACCACUUGCCGCUGAAGCUCCCGGGGGGAAGAAGAAGAACAAGUCCGGCAAGAGUAGCUCUGAUGCCCACUCCGGCAAGCGCACCUCUGUGGAGUGCUGCGCUACCGUCGAGGACGCACCAUCGAGCUCCACCGGCAAGUGCAAGAAGGCAAAGACAGCUUCACCAGAGACCAAGAAAGUGGCCGCCAAGGAGGACGGCACUGGUGGUACCUUCACCAUCAGUGCCACGCUUGACCCUAAAUAGGAAAGUGCGCUCGUUGCUUUCCUGCGGGCGAAUGUCGAUGUGUUUGCAUGGCAACCAUCUGACAUCCCCGGUGUUCCCAGGAAAGUAAUCGAGCACCACCUUGCCAUCUGCCCUCACGCGCGGCCCGUCAAGCAGAGAGUCAGAAAACAAGCAGUGGAGAGACAAGAAUUCAUUGCAGAAGAGAUCAAGAAAUUGGAAGCAGCAGGCCUGGUCCGAGGAGUACUCCAUCCAACGUGGUUAGCCAAUCCAGUAGUCGUGCGCAAAGCAAACGGGAAGUGGAGGCUUUGUAUUGACUUCACUGAUGUUAAUAAAGCUUGUCCCAAGGAUCCAUUUCCCUUGCCGCGCAUUGACCAGAUUGUCGACUCCACGGCAGGAUGUGACCUGCUUUCAUUCCUUGAUGCAUAUUCAGGAUAUCAUCAGAUCUUCAUGGCAGAAGAGGAUGAAGAGAAAACCGCAUUCAUUACUCCAUGUGGCACGUACUGCUUUGUACGGAUGCCUUUCGGACUAAAGAAUGCUGGUUCAACAUUUGCAAGAGUAGUCAGUCAUGCUUUUGAGCCACAGCUGCACAGAAAUGUAGAAGCUUACAUGGAUGACAUAGUGGUCAAGAGCAAGGACAAAGAAACUCUGAUCCAAGAUUUGGACGAGACUUUUGCAAAUCUGCGCAAGAUCAAUCUCAAGUUGAACCCCGAGAAGUGCGUGUUUGGAGUUCCUUCCGGCAAGCUUCUCGGGUUCUUUGUGUCCCAGAGGGGGAUCGAAGCCAAUCCCGACAAGAUCAAGGCCAUCAAGCAAAUCGAAGCACCGAAGCGAGUCAAGGACGUACGAAGGCUUGCCGGCUGCGUUGCUGCUCUCAGUAGGUUCAUCUCCAAGUCUGCUGAACGCGCCCUGCCAUUUUUCAAAAUUCUGAAAAAGGAAGGUCCAAUGAAAUGGACUUCGGAAGCGGAGGCUGCGCUGCAGGACCUGAAGAGAUACCUAUCCUCCACUCCAAUACUUGUCGCACCUAAGCCACAAGAGAAGUUGCUGCUAUAUCUGGCGGCAGCCAAUCAAGUGGUUAGUGCUGCGUUGGUAGCGGAGAGGGAGGCGGAUGAUGGGCCAGCGACCGCGGCAAGCGAGUCCAACGACCAGGAGGGGGCUUCCCCGACAAGCUCUGGCCCGACAAGCCCUGAUCCGACAAGUCCCGGUCCCGACAAGGAUGGAUCUGCGCGGCUGCAAGAGAAGAAGUAGAGGAAGAUGGUGCAUCGCCCAGUUUACUUUGUCAGUUCCCUUCUGCAGGGGGCUAGAUCAACGCAAAAGAGCGCUGAGGAGCAGUCUGCUCCGACAAGCCCUAGGGCUUGCUUCGUUGAAGCAGACGCUCCCGACAAGCUGUGUCCCGACACACUUGCCGGGGAGCAUCAUGCUCCGGCAGGAUCCCAGAUUCUUGCCGUGGAAGCAGAUGUUCCCGCAGCAGCAUUUGCGCCUUUAGUCCUUGUCGUCGAGCCACAAGCUCCGGCAUGGGCACAGCAGAUCGUCCUUUUCCUUCAGACAGGAGAACUUCUCGAAGAGCAAGAAGAAGCGGAGAAUGGCCUUGCUGGGACACGGACGACAGAAAAGCUAAGUUGCCAAAGUUUGAGCAUGAUCAAGUUUUUAAAUUUUUUAAGUUAUACUCCUUGAACGACCGUGCCUUGUAUGGAAAACCUGUGCGUGGAGGAAUCGACUCGUGGCUAAGUUGCGCCCUUAAUUUGUUUCGAGUCCGCUCAACAAUGAAAGUGUGCUGCAACUAGCCCCGACAAGGUUUCUUGCUGGAAGCAACAACCGCCGGCAGGCUGCUGAUGUUCCGCACUCAGAGCUCGCGGCAAGCGUGCUUGCGCCGGCAAGUUCCCUAAAAGCGUAGGGUAAAAACAUACAAGGGAUGGAAUCGAAGAAAGGAUAUAACAUAGCAAGCAUUCCCUCUUUCAUUGAAAAACAUCCCACUCGGGUACAGUCCAGAGAGGAUGAAAAACAUGAAAGAAGGGAUUACAAGUUUUCGAUGCGGCUAAGGCCCGGAGGCUUACAAAUUAAAAAGAUAAGAUGCCCGUAAUCCCUUUCCUGUCCCUCUCUGCAGGAGGUAGGUCAAGGAGGCGAAAAGGGCAAAAGGGGCGCCUAGGUGAGCUACAGGUGCCAGAAGACACUAAGAGAACAUCCCGGGGGCCGUCCGAAGGCUGGACGGUGAUGGCGGCGCCGGAAGCGGGGCUCGAAGAUGGGGCGGCAGGACGUCAGCACGCUGUCGAGGGCACUACGCCCUCGUACUCCGACUUGACGGCCUUGUCGCCAGCCCUCUUCCCCUUCCGCAGCCUCCCUAUGCCAGCCGCCCAAGGAGACGACCCCGGGGAGUUCAAGGAGCCGACGACACGGAUGAUGGGGUCGCCGGUGACGAACGAAGCAGCGCCCGACACCUAGUCGGGCCCGCCACCCCGCCGCCCGCUACCCUCAUCGUCGCUGUCGCUCUCCUCCUCGUCACUCUCGCUCGAAGGGGAGUCUUCGCUAUCGGAGGAGCUGUCCACGUAGCACUUCGCCCGAGUGCCGGAGUCCCCGAAGACUUUGACGGAGAGGAGAUCGCCCUCCAUUAACUUAAAAUGGAGGGUAAACCCCGCCAUCAGGCUAUGGAUACGAGCGAACGUCUUCCACCCACGAUCAAGAUACAUCACAUUGGGGGCUGGGAAUACAACGCGGACUCACGUGCCACUGAUCCCACAGCCCCUCAUGUGCAGUCUCAAUGUCUCAGGCAGGUCCAGCUCCAUCGCGCUCGCAAACGGAGCUGGAAGCCGGAGGCGACGACGAGGCGCCCGGCGCAGCCUGACGAAGAACUCGCAAGGGUCGUCCCCUGUAUGGACCGCCCUGGGGGGAGGAACCGCCGGCGGAGACGGAGAUGACGCGCUGCCCCGUCCGCCUCUUCCCCGAGCGCCUCGACCUCGUCCUCGACCUCGUCCACGACCUCGCCCCCUCCCUCUUCCCCUUAUGGCUGGCUCUGCCACCACGGGCGCAGGAUAGGGAGGGGCGCGCUGUCUGGCGGCGACCCUCGCCGCCACCGAUGAAGGGCCAGGGUUCCCUUCCUCCAUGGCGAAUGAGAGAAAGAGGAGCAGAAGCUGAAGAAAGGAGAAGAUGGGAGAGUGCAGGCUUCUGCGCUCCCCGCCCGCUCUUCUUAAAGGAGCGAGGUGGGGGCUCGGCCGCCCCGCUCAGCGAAUCAGGGCACGGGAAGAGCAGGGAGUCGGGGCCGACCCGCUACCUCCGCUCGCAACGGCCCAGUUUCCCACUUCCACCGUCCGCGACCCCAAGUGCAUGGGAGCCGCGUGGCGGGGAUGCAGAACCAAGGCGAAUGUUACGCAUUUUAUGGAUUUAAGUAUUGCCCACGAUCUCUCCCACGACACCGCGAUUGACGCGUGCCGUUACAAGGGAGCGCGGUGGAUACGGAGUGGAUUUGGUUUGGACCCAGGCCGCGCGUGCCCGUGCCCUGUUUUGGGCCUGGCCCAACAGCGCUCGGCAUCGUGUAUGGCCCAGGCCCGGGGGCUCCUGUCAGUGUACUAAAGUAGGGGUACCUUAGUACCCCGAACUUGUGCACGGGCAGUCGCAGCGUCCCACGGCAAGGCUUGCCGGGCGUCCGCCAAGAUCCUCCGCCAUUCCUAUUUACUGCCAUUCAAGAACAAAGUGUUAGCUGAGAAGACAGAACCCCAGCAAGAGGAGCUUGCCGGGAGGGACAAGACCCCGGCAAGAGGAGCUUGCCGGGGAGGCCAACCAAGGCACUUCAAGAGACUUGCCGCGACGCUCCGCGCGUCCCGGCAAGACCCAUCGAGCGGCAAGCUUGCGGGUGCGACAAGACUACAACCGCGGCAAGGCGCUUGCCGCGGCGAAGCCACCACUCUGCGCCCACGCUCCAGCACAUCCGACGACGUGUCUCCAUAGGAUCGCUCCUGGUGCACGUGGCGGGUAGCUGUGCAGCAUAGCAGUGCGAGGUGGCAAACAAAGAUGACAAGGAGGCCAUCGUGGCGAUCGGUGGCGCCCCUAACGGUCGUUUCCUACACUGUUUGAGCGACCAGACGGGCAUUAAAUGCCCUUGUCCCCUGCCGUCAGAGUUAGGUAGGGGGCACUGUUGGUAGGAGUUGUACCAAACCGCGUUUUUACUCUUUUACCCCUCUUUCUACGCUGCCACCUGUCGGUGACCCCUUUAACCUAUAAAAAGGAGGCCCAUGCGCACGUAGAAAGGGGUCGGUUCAGCAGAACUCACUCGACACCACAACACACCCACGCUUUCGAGCAAGAACAGAAUAGAACACAAAGCAGCAGUAGGAGUUUUAUCUCUCCGGAGAGCUCCGAAGCUGGGUAAAAAUCCCCCGCGUGCUUUCGCCUCGAUCUGCUCUGCGUGCGCCCUCUGCUCCCUUGCCGGACAAGAAAAGGGGCCCUGCCCCAUAGGUGCUCGCUCCCCAUGACACCAUGUCCGGCCCCUUCUCCUCCGCCAUGUCUGGCCCCUUCUCCUCCGCCAUGUCCGGCCUCUUCCCCGCCGCCAUUAUCGAUCAUCUCUUCGUCUUGCCCCGUGUCAUCAUUCCCUGCCCCGUCGGCAUCCUCAACAUCGUCAUCCUCAUCUUCAAUUAUCCACCGAGUAUAGCCAUCCAUGAAACUAGUCAUGAGCAGGUGCGCUUUGACACGACCAUCGUCAUGGGGGUCGAGCCAAACUAUUCCUUUGCACUUUCGACACGGACAUAAAACCUCUGUCCGGUUAUUUUCUUUCAUGUCCUGCACCGCCGACCGCAACCACCUGUCCACCAUCGUUCCACUGACCAUCGUCAACUCUGCACGGUAAUAAUAAAAAAAUUGACUGUAAAAAUGCAUGCAUGCAUCAAAGUCAUAAAAAAAUUUGGCAUGACCUUCCCUAAAAAUAGGACAUAUAUGGAUCUAGAGUUUGCCCGGAAUUCGCCGAAACGGAAAUAAAUCGACAUUUCGGCAAAACAUAGGCAACUCAAAAGCACAAUUUGGCGUCAGCUCAUGCCACACACACAAUUUCAACAAACAUAUCACACACACAUAAACAUAUUUCCAUUUUGCAAAAUGAAAUUUUCAUCACCUCUAUCUCGAUCGAGAUCGAGCACAUGGUGGAGAUGAUGUUGUAGGGAGAUCAAAAGUGCACAAAGCUCUUCUUGACAAAGAUAGAUCUAGUUAGGGAGCAAAUAGGUCACUUAACUAAAUCCUACAUCUACCUAGCUACCUAAUUUGGGAGCAGACAACUUCAACUAGUGGAGGGGGAAUGAAAAAGAGAAAGGAGAUGCAUUAAUGGNNNNNNNNNNNNNNNNNNNNNNNNNNNNNNNNNNNNNNNNNNNNNNNNNNNNNNNNNNNNNNNNNNNNNNNNNNNNNNNNNNNNNNNNNNNNNNNNNNNNNNNNNNNNNNNNNNNNNNNNNNNNNNNNNNNNNNNNNNNNNNNNNNNNNNNNNNNNNNNNNNNNNNNNNNNNNNNNNNNNNNNNNNNNNNNNNNNNNNNNNNNNNNNNNNNNNNNNNNNNNNNNNNNNAGAGUGGGAGCAUUUGGGGGAGGUAGGGGGAAGGGAAGAGAGGAGGGGGAGGGGGAGGUAGGGGGAAGGGAAAGAGAGGAGGGGGAGGGGAGGGACGGGUGGGGAAAGGUGGUGGGUUGGUGCGGGUUAGCAGUAGCGCGGGAUCGAAAACGCGCUGCUGCUAAGGAAUUAGCAGCAGCGCACUUUGGGAUACAGCGCUACUGCUAACUGAUACAAAAAAGUGUGGCAAUUUAAAAUUUAGCAGCAGCGAUCACAGAAAAAGCGCGCUACUACUACAUCCUUAGCAGUAGCAUGGUUCGCGCGACCGCGCUACUGCUAAUUAGAGUUAGGUGAACACUACCGGUCGAUAUUUGUAGCAGCGCGUUUUACGCCGAGCGCGCUACUGCUAAAUCCUUAUCAGCAGCGAGUUUCCCGCACACGCGCUACUACUAGUUAGCAGCAGCGCUCCUUUUUGAGCCGCGCUGCUGCUAAGAUUCUGUGUAUAGGCUUUUCCCUAGUAGUGAAGGGGGGGACUUGCCGCCCAAGUCAAGUGGGGCGCCCCCCCACCCCUAGGGUUUCCAACCGUUGGCGUAGGGGAGGCCCAAGGGGGGUGCACCAGCCCACUAGGGGCUGGUUACCCUCCCCACUUCAGCCCAUGGGGCCCUCCGGGACAGGUGGCCCCACCCGGUGGACCCCCGGGACCCUUCCGGUGGUCCCGGUAUAAUACGGGUGACCCUCGAAACUUUCCCGAUGGCCGAAACUGGACUUCCUAUAUACAAUUCUUCACCUCCGGACCAUUCCGGAACUCCUCGUGACGUCCGGGAUCUCAUCCGAGAUUCCGAACAUCUUUCGGGUUACCACAUACUUAUAUCUCUACAACCCUAGUGUCACCGAACCUUAAGUGUGUAGACCCUACGGGUUCGGCAGACACGCGGACAUGACCGAGACGACUCUCUGGCCAAUAACCAACAGCGGGAUCUGAAUACCCAUGUUGGCUCCCACAUGCUCCUCGAUGAUCUCAUCGAAUGAACCACGAUGUCGAGGAUUCAAUUAAUCCCGUAUCCAAUUCCCUUUGUCAAUCGGUAUGUUACUUGCCCGAGAUUUGAUCGUCGGUAUCCCAAUACCUUGUUCAAUCUCGUGACCGGCAAGUCACUUUACUCGUACCAUAAUGCAUGAUCCCGUGACCAACCACUUAGUCACUUUGAGAUCAUUAUGAUGAUGCAUUACCGAGUGGGCCCAGAGACACCUCUCCGUCAUACGGAGUGACAAAUCCCAGUCUCGAUCCGCGUCAACACAACAGACACUUUUGGAGAUACCUGUAGUAUACCUUUAUAGUCACCCAGUUACGUUGUGACGUUUGGUACACCCAAAGCACUCCUACGGCAUCCGGGAGUUACACGAUCUCAUGGUCUAAGGAAAUGAUGCUUGACAUUGGAAAAGCUCUAGCAAACGAACUACACGAUCUUGUGCUAUGCUUAGGAUUGGGUCCAUCCAUCACAUCAUUCUCGCAAUGAUGUGAUCCCGUUAUUAAUGACAUCCAAUGUCCAUGGUCAGGAAACCGUGACCAUCUAUUGAUAAACGAGCUAGUCAACUAGAGGCUUACUAGGGACAUGUUGUGGUCUAUGUAUUCACACAUGUAUUACGAUUUCCGGAUAACACAAUUAUAGCAUGAAUAAAAGACAAUUACCAUGAACAAGGAAAUAUAAUAAUAACCAUUUUAUUAUUGCCUCUAGGGCAUAUUUCCAACAGUCUCCCACUUGCACUAGAGUCAAUAAUCUAGUUACAUUGUGAUGAAUUGAACACCCAUAGAUUUUUGGUGUUGAUCAUGUUUUGCUCGCGGAAGAGGUUUAGUCAACGAAUCUGCGACAUUCAGAUCCAUAUGCACUUUGCAAAUAUCUAUGUCUCCAUCUUGAACAUUUUCACGAAUGGAGUUGAAGCGACGCUUGAUGUGCUUGGUCUUCUUGUGAAACCUGGGCUCCUUGGCAAGGGCAAUAGCUCCAGUGUUGUCACAGAAGAGUGUGAUCGGCCCCGACGCAUUAGGUAUGACUCCUAGGUCGGUGAUGAACUCCUUCAGCCAGAUUGCUUCAUGCGCUGCCUCCGAGGCUGCCAUGUACUCCGCUUCACAUGUAGAUCCCGCCACGAUGCUUUGCUUGCAACUGCACCAGCUUACUGUCCCACCAUUCAAAAUAUACACGUAUCCGGUCUGUGACUUAGAGUCAUCCAGAUCUGUGUCGAAGCUAGCGUCGACGUAACCCUUUACGACGAGCUUUUCGUCACCUCCAUAUACGAGAAACAUAUUUUUAGUCCUUUUCAGGUACUUCAGGAUAUUCUUGACCGCUGUCCAGUGUUCCAUGCCGGGAUUACUUUGGUACCUUCCUACCAAACUUACGGCAAGGUUUACAUCAGGUCUGGUACACAUCAUGGCAUACAUGAUAUACCCUAUGGCUGAGGCAUAGGGGACGACACUCAUCUUUUCUCUAUCUUCUGCCGUGGUCGGACAUUGAGCCGAGCUCAAUUUCACACCUUGCAAUACAGGCAAGAACCCCUUUCUGGGACUGAUCCAUAUUGAACUUCCUCAAUAUCUUAUCAAGGUAUGCGCUUUGUGAAAGACCUAUGAGGCGUCUCGAUCUAUCUCUAUAGAUCUUGAUGCCUAAUAUGUAAGCAUCUUCUCCAAGGUCCUUCAUUGAAAAACACUUAUUCAAGUAGGCCUUAAUGCUGUCCAAAGUUCUAUAUCAUUUCCCAUCAAAAGUACGUCAUCCACAUAUAAUAUGAGAAAUGCUACAGAGCUCCCACUCACUUUCUUGUAAACGCAGGCUUCUCCAUAAGUCUGCACAAACCCAAACACUUUGAUCAUUUCAUUAAAGCGAAUGUUCCAACUCCUAGAUGCUUGCACCAGCCCAUAGAUGGAGCACUAGAGCUUGCAUACCUUGUUAGCAUUUUUAGGAUCGACAAAACCUUCCGGCUGCAUCAUAUAUAGUUCUUCCUUAAGAUGGUCGUUAAGGAAUGCCGUUUUGAAGUCCAUUUGCCAUAUUUCAUAAUCAUAGUAUGCGGCAAUUGCUAACAUGAUUCGGACGGACUUCAGCUUCGCUACGGGAGAGAAAGUCUCAUCGUAGUCAACCCCUUGAACUUGUCGAUAACCCUUAGCGACAAGUCGAGAUUUAUAGAUGGUAACAUUACCAUCCGCGUCCGUCUUCUUCUUAAGGAUCCAUUUGUUUUCUAUUGCUCGCCGAUCAUCGGGCAAGUCUGUCAAAGUCCAUACUUAGUUUUCAUACAUGGAUCCUAUCUCGGAUUGCAUGGCUUCAAGCCAUUUGUUGGAAUCUGGGCCCGCCAUUGCUUCUUCAUAGUUCGAAGGUUCACCGUUGUCUAACAACAUGAUUUCCAGGACAGGGUUGCCAUACCACUCUGGUGUGAACGUGUCCUCGUGGACCUAUGAAGUUCAGUAGUAACUUGAUCCGAAGUACCUUGAUCAUCAUCAUUAGUUUCCUCUCUAGUCAGUGCAGGCACCACAGGAACAUCUUCCUGAGCUGCGCUACUUUUAAGAGGUAGUACUUCAUCAAGUUCCACUUUCCUCCCACUUACUUCUUUCGAGAGAAACUCUUUCUCCAGAAAGGACCCGUUCUUGGCAACAAAGAUCUUGCCUUCGGAUCUGAGGUAGAAGGUAUACCCAAUGGUUUCCUUAGGGUAUCCUAUGAAGACGCAUUUUUCCGACUUGGGUUCGAGCUUUUCAGGUUGAAGUGUCUUGACAUAAGCAUCGCAUCCCCAAACUUUUAGAAACGAUAGCUUAGGUUUCUUCCCAAACCAUAAUUCAUACGGUGUCGUCUCAACGGAUUUAGACGGUGCCCUAUUUAAAGUGAAUGUAGCUGUCUCUAGAGCGUAUCCCCAAAAUGAUAGCGGUAAAUUGAUGAGUGACAUCAUAGAUCGCACCAUAUCCAAUAGAGUGCGAUUACGAUGUUCGGACACACCGUUACGCUGAGGUGUUCUAGGCGGCGUGAGUUGUGAAAUGAUUCCACAUUUCCUUAAGUGUGUACCAAAUUCGUGACUUAAAUAUUCUCCCCCAUGAUCUGAUCGUAAGAACUUUAUCUUUCGGUCACGUUGAUUCUCUACCUCAUUCUGAAAUUCCUUGAACUUUUCAAAGGUCUCAGACUUGUGUUUCAUCAAGUAGACAUACCCAUAUCUACUCAAGUCGUCAAUGAGAGUGAGAACAUAACGAUAUCCUCCGCGAGCCUCAACGCUCAUUGGACAGCACACAUCAGUAUGUAUGAUUUCCAAUAAGUUGGUUGUUCGCUCCAUUGUUCCGGAGAAUGGAGUCUUAGUCAUUUUGCCCAUAAGGCAUGGUUCGCACGUGUCAAAUGAUUCGUAAUCAAGAGACUCCAAAAGUCCAUCAGCAUGGAGCUUCUUCAUGCGUUUGACACCAAUGUGACCAAGGUGGCAGUGCCACAAGUAUGUGGGACUAUCGUUAUCAACUUUACAUCUUUUGGUAUUCACACUAUGAAUAUGUGUAAGAUCAUGUUCGAGAUUCAUUAAGAAUAAACCAUUGACCAGCGGGGCAUGACCAUAAAACAUAUCUCUCAUAUAAAUAGAACAACCAUUAUUCUCGGAUUUAAAUGAGUAGCCAUCUCGCAUUAAACGAGAUCCAGAUACAAUGUUCAUGCUCAAAGCUGGCACUAAAUAACAAUUAUUGAGGUUUAAAACUAAUCCCGUAGGUAAAUGUAGAGGUAGCGUGCCGACGGCGAUCACAUCGACCUUGGAACCAUUCCCGACGCGCAUCGUCACCUCGUCCUUCGCCAAUCUCCGCUUAUUCCGCAGCUCCUGUUUUGAGUUACAAAUAUGAGCAACCGCACCGGUAUCAAAUACCCAGGAGCUACUACGAGUACUGGUAAGGUACACAUCAAUUACAUGUAUAUCACAUAUACCUUUAGUGUUGUUGGCCUUCUUGUCCGCUAAGUAUUUGGGGCAGUUCCGCUUCCAGUGUCCCUUUCCCUUGCAAUAAAAGCACUCAGUCUCAGGCUUGGGUCCAUUCUUUGGCUUCUUCCCGGCAGCUGGCUUACCGGGCGCGGCAACUCCCUUGCCGUCCUUCUUGAAGUUCUUCUUACCCUUGCCUUUCUGGACACUAGUGGUUUUAUUGACCAUCAACACUUGAUGUUCAUUUUUGAUUUCCACCUCUGCUGAUUUCAGCAUUGAAAAUACUUCAGGAAUAGUUAUCACCAUCCCCUGCAUAUUGUAGUUCAUCACAAAGCUCUUGUAGCUAGGUGGGAGCGACUAAAGGAUGCUGUCAAUGACCGCCUCGUUCGGGAGGUUAAUCUCCAGCUGGGACAAGUGGUUGUGCAACCCAGACAUUUUGAGUAUGUGCUCACUGAUAAAACUAUUUUCCUCCAUCUUACAACUGUAGAACUUGUCGAAGACUUCAUAUCUCUCGACCCGGGCAUGAGCUUGGAAAACCAUUUUCAGCUCUUCGAACAUCUCAUAUGCUCCGUGUUGCUCAAAACGCUUUUGGAGCCCCGGUUCUAAGCUGUAAAGCAUGCCACACUGAACGAGGGAGUAAUCAUCAGCACGUGACUGCCAAGCGUUCAUAACGUCUUGGUUCUUUGGAUAGGGUGCUUCACCUAGCGGUCCUUCUAGGACAUAUGCUUUCUUGGCAGCUAUGAGGAUGAUCCUCAGGUUCCGGACCCAGUCCGAAUAGUUGCUGCCAUCAUCUUUCAGCUUGGUUUUCUCUAGGAACGCGUUGAAGUUGAGGUUGACAUGAGUGUUGGCCAUUUGAUCUACAAGACAUUUUGCAAAGGUUUUUAGACUAAGUUCAUGAUAAUUAAGUUCAUCUAAUCAAUUUAUUUAAUGAACUCCCACUCAGAUUAGACAUCCCUCUAGUCAUCUAAGUGAUACAUGAUCCAACUCAACUAGACCGUGUACGAUCAUCAUGUGAGCGGACUAGUCAUCAUCGGUGAACAUCUCCAUGUUGAUCGUAUCUUCCAUACGACUCAUGUUCAACCUUUCGGUCUCUUGUGUUCCGAGGCCAUGUCUGUACAUGCUAGGCUUGUCAAGUCAACCUAAGUGUUUUGCAUGUGUAAAUCUGUCUUACACCCGUUGUAUGUGAACGUUAGAAUGUAUCACACCCGAUCAUCACGUGGUGCUUCUAAACAACGAACUUUCGCAACGGCGCACAGUUAGGGGGAACACUUUCUUGAAAUUAUUAUAAGUGAUCAUCUUAUUUACUACCGUCGUACUAAGCAAAUAAGAAGCAAAACAUGAUAAACAUCACAUGCAAUCAAAUAGUGACAUGAUAUGGCCAAUAUCAUAUUGCUCCUUUGAUCUCCAUCUUCGGGGCGCCAUGAUCGUAUUCGUCACCGGCAUGACACCAUGAUCUCCAUCAUCGUGUCUUCAUGAAGUUGUCACGCCAACGAUUACUUAGACUUCUAUGGCAAACGUGUUUAGCAAUAAAGUAAAGUAAUUUACAUGGCGUUAUUCAAUGACACGCAGGUCAUACAAAAAAUAAAGACAACUCCUAUGGCUCCUGCCGGCUGUCAUACUCAUCGACAUGCAAGUCGUGAUUCCUAUUACAAGAACAUGAUCAAUCUCAUACAUCACAUAUAUCAUUCAUCACAUCCUUUUAGCCAUAUCACAUCACAAGGCAUAUGCUGCAAAAACAAGUUAGAUGUCCUCUAAUUGUUGUUGCAUGUUUUUACGUGGCUUCUAUAGGUUUCUAGCAAGAACGUUUCUUACCUACAUAAAAGCACAACGUGAUAUGCCAAUUUCUAUUUACCCUUAAUAAGGACCCUUUUCAUCCAAUCCGAUCCGACUAAAGUGGGAGAGACAGACACCUGCUAGCCACCUUAUGCAACGAGUGCAUGUUAGUCGGUGGAACCUGUCUCACGUAAGCGUACGUGUAAGGUCGGUCCGGGCCGCUUCAUCCCACGAUGCCGCCGAAGCAAGAUAAGACUAGUAGUGGCAAGAAAAUUGACAACAUCUACACCCACAACAAGUUUGUGUUCUACUCAUGCAUAGAAACUACGCAUAGACCUAGCUCAUGAUGCCACUGUUGGGGAACGUUGCAGAAAAUAAAAAAUUUCUAUGCUUCACCCAGAUCAAUCUAUGGAGUCAUCUAGCAAUGAGAGAGAGGAGUGCAUCUACAUACCCUUGUAGAUCACGCGCGGAAGCGUUCAAGACAACGGGGUUGAGGGAGUCGUACUCGUCGUGAUCCAAAUCACCGAAUAUCCUAGUGCCGAACGGACGGCACCUCUGCGUUCAACACACGUACGGUUGUGGAAGACGUCUCCUCCUUCUUGAUCCAGCAAGGGGGAGGGAGAGGUUGAUGGAGAUCCAGCAGCACGACGGCGUGGUGGUGGAAGCAGCAGCGAUCUCGGCAGGGCUUCGCCAAGCUCUACAAGAGGGAGAGGUGUUGCGGAGGGAGAGGGAGGCGCUAGGAGCAGGGGUGCGCAGCCCUCCCUCCCCCCUCUUUAUAUAGGGGCCCUGGGGGGCGCUGGCCCCUGGAGAUCCCAUCUCAAGGGGGGACUUGCCCCCCAAGUCAAGUGGGGCGCCCCCACCCCUAGGGUUUCCAACCCUAGGCGCAGGGGAGGCACAAGGGGGGCGCACCAGCCCACCAGGGGCUGGUUCCACUCCCAACUUCAGCCCAUGAGGCCCUCCGGGAUAGGUGGCCCCACCCGGUGGACCCCCGGGACCCUUCCGGUGGUCCCGGUACAAUACCCGUGACCCCCGAAACUUUCCCGAUGGCUGAAACUGGACUUCCCAUAUACAAUUCUUCACCUCCGGACCAUUCCGGAACUCCUCGUGAAGUCCAGGAUCUCAUCCGGGACUCUGAACAACUUUCGGGUUCCCGCAUACUUAUAUCUCUACAACCCUAGCGUCACCGAACCUUAAGUGUGUAGACCCUACGGGUUCAGGAGACACGCGGACAUGACCGAGACGACUCUUCGGCCAAUAACCAACAGCGGGAUCUGGAUACCCAUGUUGGCUCCCACAUGCUCCUCGAUGAUCUCAUCGAAUGAACCAUGAUGUCGAGGAUUCAAUUAAUCCCAUAUACAAUUCCCUUGGUCAAUCGGUACGUCACAUGCCCGAGAUUCGAUCGUUGGUAUCCCAAUACCUCGUUCAAUCUCGUGACCAGCAAGUUACUUUACUCGUACCAUAAUGCAUGAUCCCGUGACCAACCACUUAGUCACUCUGAGCUCAUUAUGAUGAUUCAUUACCGAGUGGGCCUAGAGAUACCUCUCCGUCAUACAGAGUGACAAAUCCCAGUCUCGAUCCGCGUCAACCCAACAGACACUUUCGGAGAUACCUGUAGUAUACCUUUAUAGUCACCCAGUUACGUUGUGACGUUUGGUACACCGAAAGCUCUCCUACGGCAUCCGGGAGUUACACGAUCUCAUGGUCUAAGGAUAUGAUGCUUGACAUUGGAAAAGCUCUAGCAAAUGAACUACACGAUCUUGUGCUAUGCUUAGGAUUGGGUCUCGUCCAUCACAUCAUUCUCCCAAUGAUGUGAUCCCAUUAUCAAUGACAUCCAAUGUCAAUGUCAGGAAACCAUGACCAUCUAUUGAUAAACAAGCUAGUCAACUAGAGGCUUACUAGAAAAAUGAUUAGAAAAAUGUGUAGAAUUGGACUUGGAAUCCUAGUUGUGUCUAGCCCUAGAUAUUGUUUCUUGUUACUUGUCCCACUUUGGGGUGCCGUGACCCUCCUUAUAUAAGUCAUAAAGAACUCAUAUACUUAUUGCAAAAAUCUACAAGCCAUCAAAAACCAAGCACUACGCGCAUGCUCCUGUUAAAUUUGGAGUUACGAUUUAGAAGAUAUGAGUAUUUUAAAAAACAAUUGUUAUCGGCGCGUCAAACAUUGUUAUUCCUCAGAGGAAUAACAUUGUUAGCGCGGGGCGCAAACACUCUUACUCCCUCCCUCAGAACAUUGUUAUUAUCGUGGCUGACGCUAACAAUGUUAAUCACUGGAAUAACAUUGUUAUCGGUGCCUCAAACAUUGUUACUCCUCAGCACAAUAACAUUGUUACUACUGCCCUCAGAACAUUCUUACUCUCUCAGAACAUUGUAACAAUGUUCUGAGGGGAGUAGUAACAAUGUUAUUCUCUUGAGGAGUAACAAUGUUUGACGCACCGCCUCAAACAUUGUUACUCCUCAUCACAAUAACAUUGUUACUACUUCCCUCAGAACAUUGUUACUAACAAUGUUAUUCUGCUGAGGAGUAACAAUGUUUGACGCACCGAUAACAAUGUUAUUCCAGCNNNNNNNNNNNNNNNNNNNNNNNNNNNNNNNNNNNNNNNNNNNNNNNNNNNNNNNNNNNNNNNNNNNNNNNNNNNNNNNNNNNNNNNNNNNNNNNNNNNNNNNNNNNNNNNNNNNNNNNNNNNNNNNNNNNNNNNNNNNNNNNNNNNNNNNNNNNNNNNNNNNNNNNNNNNNNNNNNNNNNNNNNNNNNNNNNNNNNNNNNNNNNNNNNNNNNNNNNNNNNNNNNNNNNNNNNNNNNNNNNNNNNNNNNNNNNNNNNNNNNNNNNNNNNNNNNNNNNNNNNNNNNNNNNNNNNNNNNNNNNNNNNNNNNNNNNNNNNNNNNNNNNNNNNNNNNNNNNNNNNNNNNNNNNNNNNNNNNNNNNNNNNNNNNNNNNNNNNNNNNNNNNNNNNNNCGUACCCUCAUACCAUUACCCUUCUCCUUCUCCCCUCCAUUCCCCUUUCCCUCUCCGGUAAAAGGAAGGGGGUUUGAAUUGGACUUGGAAUCCUAGUAGGACUGGGGUUUGAAUUGGACUUGGAAUCCUAGUAGGAGGAGUCCUACUAGGAUUCCAAGUCCAAUUCAAACCCCCUUCCUUUUACCGGAGAGGGAAAGGGGAAUGGAGGGGAGAAGGAGAAGGAAAGGGGGCGCCACCCCAUUUCCUUCACUCCAAUUCGGAUCCCUUCCUUGUGAGGGGCGCACCAGCCCCUUGUGGGCUGGUUAGCCUCUCUGGAAGGGUGAGAGUAGAUUGGUAGGGAAAGACCAUCGCUCGUCCCCGACCGUCACUCAUAAGGAUGCACAAUCUAAGAACACCUCAUGUUUCAAAGAAAAUUUGGUGACAGAUCAAGCAUGUUCGAUUUUGAUGAACUAUAGCCACAUACAAAAUAUUCCCCAAUGAUAGAAACCUUCAUUUCCGAUAGAUGAAAUAAGUCUUAUUGUGCUGCAGAUUAGACAAUCAACCACCUUAGACAAUCAACGUGCUUGAUCUGUCACCAAAUUUUCUCAAAGGCAAGCGGGCAAAAAACCAGAGGUAACAAGGAGUACCAGAGGAGUUACCGGAACCCCCCGGUGGAAGAUAUGGGCCAUAUGGGCCAUAAGAGAGAGGCUAACCAUCCCACAAGGGGCUGGUGCGCUCCUCACAAGGAAGGGAUCCGAAUUGGAGUGGAGGAAAUGGGGUGGCACCCCCUUAACAAUGUUCUGAGGGAGGGAGUAACAGUGUUCUGAGGGAGGCAGUAACAGUGUUUGCGCCCCGCGCUAACAAUGUUAUUCCUCUGAGGAAUAACAAUGUUUGACGCACCGAUAACAACAAUGUUCUCGUGGCUGCGGUAACAAUGUUAAUCGCUGUAAUAACAUUGUUAUCGGUGCGUCAAACAUUGUUACUCCUCAGCAGAAUAACAUUGUUACUACUUCUCUCAAAACAUUGUUACUCCCUCUGAUGGUAACAAUGUUAAUCGCUGUAAUAACAUUGUUAUCGGUGCGUCAAACAUUGCUACUCCUUAGCAUAAUAUGCCGUCACGCCCGGUGGCUGCUAAAAAAACAAUUGUAGGGAUCCGAAUUGGAGUGGAGGAAAUGGGGUGGCGCCCCCUUUCCUUCUCCUGGGCCAUAAGAGAGAGGCUAACCAGCCCACAAGGGACUGGUGCGCCCCUCACAAGGAAGGGAUCCGAAUUGGAGUGGAGGAAAUGGGGUGGCGCCCCCUUUCCUUCUCCUUCUCCCCUCCAUUCCCCUUUCCCUGAGUUAUGUGUUUUGGUGACCGAAGGUUCUUCGGAGUCCUAAAGAGAGUGAGGUGGAGUGGAACGCCGUCACGCCCUGUGGCUGCUAAAAAAACAAUUGUUACCUCUGGUUUUUUGCCCGCUUGCCUUGAGAAAAUUUGGUGACAGAUCAAGCACGUUCGAUUUUGAUGAACUAUAAUAGCUCUAGGGCCAGGUGGGAAGAUCCCGUCUUAACUUUCUAUAAGAUCUGGAUUAGAUCUCUGCUAAUACACAAUCUGAGAACGAGUUUCUUUGCUUUAACGUGGUUGAUUGUCUAAUCUGCAGCACAAUAAGACUUAUUUCAUCUAUCGGAAAUGAAGGUUUCUAUCAUUGGGGAAUAUUUUGUAAGUUCAUCAAAAUCGAACAUGCUUGAUCUGUCACCAAAUUUCUUUGAAACAUGAGGUGUUCUUAGAUUGUGCAUCCUUAUGAGUGACAGUCGGGGACGAGCGAUGGUCUUUCCCUACCAAUCUACUCUCACCCUUCCAUCAUUGCUAGCCUCUUCGGUACCAUGCAUUGCCCUCUCUCACCUUGAGAGUUGGUGGUAACUUCGCCGGUGCAUCCAAACCCCGUGAUACCCAAAACUAGAACAAGAUAUGACGUUCGAUUUUGAUGAACUAUAGCCACAUACAAAAUAUUCCCCAAUGAUAGAAACCUUCAUUUCCGAUAGAUGAAAUAAGUCUUAUUGUGCUGCAGAUUAGACAAUCAACCACCUUAAAGCAAAGAAACUCGUUCUCAGAUUGUGUAUUAGCAGAGAUCUAAUCCAGAUCUUAUAGAAAGUUAAGAAGGGAUCUUCCCACCUGGCCCUAGAGCUAUUAUAGUUCAUCAAAAUCGAACGUGCUUGAUCUGUCACCAAAUUUUCUCAAGGCAAGCGGGCAAAAAACCACAGGUAACGAUUGUUUUUUUAGCAGCCACAGGGCGUGACGGCGUUCCACUCCACCUCACUCUCUUUAGGACUCCGAAGAACCUUCGGUCACCAAAACACAUAACUCAGGGAAAGGGGAAUGGAGGGGAGAAGGAGAAGGAAAGGGGGCGCCACCCCAUUUCCUCCACUCCAAUUCGGAUCCCUUCCUUGUGAGGGGCGCACCAGCCCCUUGUGGGCUGGUUAGCCUCUCUCUUAUGGCCCAGGAGAAGGAAAGGGGGCGCCACCCCAUUUCCUCCACUCCAAUUCGGAUCCCUACAAUUGUUUUUUUAGCAGCCACAGGGCGUGACAGCGUAUUCUGCUAAGGAGUAACAAUGUUUGACGCACCGAUAACAAUGUUAUUACAGUGAUUAACAUUGUUACCGUCAGAGGGAGUAACAAUGUUCUGAGGGAAGUAGUAACAAUGUAUUCUGAUGAGGAGUAACAAUGUUUGACACACUGAUAACUAUGUUAUUACAGCGAUUAACAUAGUUACCGUCAACCACGAGAACAUUGUUGUUAUCGGCGCGUCAAACAUUGUUAUUCCUCAGAGGAAUAACAUUGUUAGCGCGGGGCGCAAACACUGUUACUGCCUCCCUCAGAACACUGUUACUCCCUCCCUCAGAACAUUGUUAAGGGGGCGCCACCCCAUUUCCUCCACUCCAAUUCGGAUCCCUUCCUUGUGAGGAGCGCACCAGCCCCUUGUGGGCUGGUUAGCCUCUCUCUUAUGGCCCAUAUCUUCCACCGGGGGGGUUCCGGUAACCCCUCUGGUACUCCUUGUUACCUCUGAGGGACUAUAGCCACAUACAAAAUAUUCCCCAAUGAUAGAAACCUUCAUUUCCGAUAGAUGAAAUAAGUCUUAUUGUGCUGCAGAUUAGACAAUCAACCACCUUAAAGCAAAGAAACUCGUUCUCAGAUUGUGUAUUGGCAGAGAUCUAAUCCAGAUCUUAUAGAAAGUUAAGAAGGGAUCUUCCCACCUAUCCCUAGAGCUAUUAUAGUUCAUCAAAAUCGAAUGUGCUUGAUCUGUCACCAAAUUUUCUCAAGGCAAGCGGGCAAAAAACCAGAGGUAACAAUUGUUCUUUUAGCAGCCAUAGGGCGUGACGGCGUUCCACUCCACCUCACUCUCUUUAGGACUCCGAAGAACCUUCGGUCACCAAAACACAUAACUCAGGGGAAGGGGAAUGGAGGGGAGAAGGAGAAGGAAAGGGGGCGCCACCCCAUUUCCUCCACUACAAUUCGGAUCCCUUCCUUGUGAGGGGCGCACCAGCCCCUUGUGGGCUGGUUAGCCUCUCUCUUAUGGCCCAGGAGAAGGAAAGGGGGCGCCACCCCAUUUCCUCCACUCCAAUUCGGAUCCCAACAAUUGUUUUUUUAGCAGCCACAGGGCGUAACGGCAUAUUCUGCUAUGGAGUAACAAUGUUUGACGCACCGAUAACAAUGUUAUUACAGCGAUUAACAUUGUUACCGUCAGAGGGGUAACAAUGUUCUGAGGGAAGUAGUAACAAUGUUAUUCUGCUGAGGAGUAACAAUGUUUGAUGCACCGAUAACAAUGUUAUUACAGCGAUUAACAUUGUUACCGUCAGCCACGAGAACAUUGUUGUUAUCGGCGCAUCAAACAUUGUUAUUCCUCAGAGGAAUAACAUUGUUAGCGCGGGGCGCAAACACUGUUACUGCCUCACUCAGAACACUGUUACUCCCUCCCUCAGAACAUUGUUAAGGGGGCGCCACCCCAUUUCCUCCACUCCAAUUCGGAUCCCUUCCUUGUGAGGAGCGCACCAGCCCCUUGUGGGCUGGUUAGCCUCUCUCUUAUGGCCCAUAUGGCCCAUAUCUUCCACCGGGGGGGUUCCGGUAACCCCUCUGGUACUGCUUGUUACCUCUGAGGGACUAUAGCCACAUACAAAAUAUUCCCCAAUGAUAGAAACCUUCAUUUCUGAUAGAUGAAAUAAGUCUUAUUGUGCUGCAGAUUAGACAAUCAACCACCUUAAAGCGAAGAAACUCAUUCUCAGAUUGUGUAUUAGCAGAGAUCUAAUCCAGAUCUUAUAGAAAGUUAAGAAGGGAUCUUCCCACCUAUGCCUAGAGCUAUUAUAGUUCAUCAAAAUCGAACGUGCUUGAUCUGUCACCAAAUUUUCUCAAGGCAAGCCAGCAAAAAACCAGAGGUAACAAUUGUUUUUUUAGCAGCCACAGGGCGUGACGGCGUUCCACUCCACCUCACUCUCUUUAGGACUCCGAAGAACCUUCGGUCACCAAAACACAUAACUCAGGGAAAGGGGAAUGGAGGGGAGAAGGAGAAGGAAAGGGGGCGCCACCCCAUUUCCUCCACUACAAUUCAGAUCCCUUCCUUGCGAGGGGCGCACCAGCCCCUUGUGGGCUGGUUAGCCUCUCUCUUAUGGCUCAGGAGAAGGAAAGGGGGCGCCACCCCAUUUCCUCCACUCCAAUUCGGAUCCCUACAAUUGUUUUUUUAGCAGCCACAGGGCGUGACGGCGUAUUCUGCUAAGGAGUAACAAUGUUUGACGCACCGAUAACAAUGUUAUUACAGCGAUUAACAUUGUUACCGUCAGAGGGGUAACAAUGUUCUGAGGGAAGUAGUAACAAUGUUAUUCUGCUGAGGAGUAACAAUGUUUGACGCACCGAUAACAAUGUUAUUACAGCGAUUAACAUUGUUACCGUCAGCCACGAGAACAUUGUUGUUAUCGGCGCGUCAAACAUUGUUAUUCCUCAGAGGAAUAAAAUUGUUAGCGCGGGGCGCAAACACUGUUACUUCCUCACUCAGAACACUGUUACUCCCUCCCUCAGAACAUUGUUAAGGGGGCGCCACCCCAUUUCCUCCACUCCAAUUCGGAUCCCUUCCUUGUGAGGAGCGCACCAGCCCCUUGUGGGCUGGUUAGACUCUCUCUUAUGGCCCAUAUGGCCCAUAUCUUCCACCGGGGGGUUCCGGUAACCCCUCUGGUACUCCUUGUUACCUCUGAGGGACUAUAGCCACAUACAAAAUAUUCCCCAAUGAUAGAAACCUUCAUUUCCGAUAGAUGAAAUAAGUCUUAUUGUGCUGCAGAUUAGACAAUCAACCACCUUAAAGCAAAGAAACUCGUUCUCAGAUUGUGUAUUAGCAGAGAUCUAAUCCAGAUCUUAUAGAAAGUUAAGAAGGGAUCUUCCCACCUGGCCCUAGAGCUAUUAUAGUUCAUCAAAAUUGAACGUGCUUGAUCUGUCACCAAAUUUUCUCAAGGCAAGCAGGCAAAAAACCAGAGGUAACGAUUGUUUUUUUAGCAGCCACAGGGCACACCUCACUCUCUUUAGGACUCCGAAGAACCUUCGGUCACCAAAACACAUAACUCAGGGAAAGGGGAAUGGAGGGGAGAAGGAGAAGGAAAGGGGGUGCCACCCCAUUUCCUCCACUCCAAUUCGGAUCCCUUUCUUGUGAGGGGCGCACCAGCCCCUUGUGGGCUGGUUAGCCUCUCUCUUAUGGCCCAGGAGAAGGAAAGGGGGCGCCACCCCAUUUCCUCCACUCCAAUUCGGAUCCCUACAAUUGUUUUUUUAGCAGCCACAGAGCGUGACGGCGUAUUCUGCUAAGGAGUAACAAUGUUUGACGCACCGAUAACAAUGUUAUUAAAGCGAUUAACAUUGUUACCGUCAGAGGGAGUAACAAUGUUCUGAGGGAAGUAGUAACAAUGUUAUUCUGCUGAGGAGUAACAAAGUUUGACGCAUCGAUAACAAUAUUAUUACAGUGAUUAACAUUGUUACCGUCAGCCACGAGAACAUUGUUGUUAUCGGCGCGUCAAACAUUGUUAUUCCUUAGAGGAAUAACAUUGUUAGCGCGGGGCGCGACCACUGUUACUGCCUCCCUAAGAACAAUGUUACUCCCUCCCUCAGAACAUUUUUAGGGGGCCGCCACCCCAUUUCCUCCACUCCAAUUCGGAUCCCUUCAUUGUGAGGAGCGCACCAGCCCCUUGUGGGCUGGUUAGCCUCUCUCUUAUGGCCCAUAUGGCCCAUAUCUUCCACCGGGGGGUUCCGGUAACCCCUUUGGUACUCCUUGUUACCUCUGAGGGACUAUAGCCACAUACAAAAUAUUCCCUAAUGAUAGAAACCUUCAUUUCCGAUAGAUGAAAUAAGUCUUAUUGUGCUGCAGAUUAGACAAUCAACCACGUUAAAGCAAAGAAACUCGUUCUCAGAUUGUGUAUUAGCAGAGAUCUAAUCCAGAUCUUAUAGAAAGUUAAGAAGGGAUCUUCCCACCUGGCCCUAGAGCUAUUAUAGUUCAUCAAAAUCGAACGUGCUUGAUCUGUCACCAAAUUUUCUCAAGGCAAGCAGGCAAAAAACCAGAGGUAACGAUUGUUUUUUUAGCAGCCACAGGGCACACCUCACUCUCUUUAGGACUCCGAAGAACCUUCGGUCACCAAAACACAUAACUCAGGGAAAGGGGAAUGGAGGGGAGAAGGAGAAGGAAAGGGGGUGCCACCCCAUUUCCUCCACUCCAAUUCGGAUCCCUUCCUUGUGAGGGGCGCACCAGCCCCUUGUGGGCUGGUUAGCCUCUCUCUUAUGGCCCAGGAGAAGGAAAGGGGGCGCCACCCCAUUUCCUCCACUCCAAUUCGGAUCCCUACAAUUGUUUUUUUAGCAGCCACAGAGCGUGACGGCGUAUUCUGCUAAGGAGUAACAAUGUUUGACGCACCGAUAACAAUGUUAUUAAAGCGAUUAACAUUGUUACCGUCAGAGGGAGUAACAAUGUUCUGAGGGAAGUAGUAACAAUGUUAUUCUGCUGAGGAGUAACAAAGUUUGACGCAUCGAUAACAAUAUUAUUACAGUGAUUAACAUUGUUACCGUCAGCCACGAGAACAUUGUUGUUAUCGGCGCGUCAAACAUUGUUAUUCCUUAGAGGAAUAACAUUGUUAGCGCGGGGCGCGACCACUGUUACUGCCUCCCUAAGAACAAUGUUACUCCCUCCCUCAGAACAUUUUUAGGGGGCCGCCACCCCAUUUCCUCCACUCCAAUUCGGAUCCCUUCAUUGUGAGGAGCGCACCAGCCCCUUGUGGGCUGGUUAGCCUCUCUCUUAUGGCCCAUAUGGCCCAUAUCUUCCACCGGGGGGUUCCGGUAACCCCUCUGGUACUCCUUGUUACCUCUGAGGGACUAUAGCCACAUACAAAAUAUUCCCUAAUGAUAGAAACCUUCAUUUCCGAUAGAUGAAAUAAGUCUUAUUGUGCUGCAGAUUAGACAAUCAACCACCUUAAAGCAAAGAAACUCGUUCUCAGAUUGUGUAUUAGCAGAGAUCUAAUCCAGAUCUUAUAGAAAGUUAAGAAGGCAUCUUCCCACCUGGCCCUAGAGCUAUUAUAGUUCAUCAAAAUCGAACGUGCUUGAUCUGUCACCAAAGUUUCUCAAGGCAAGCGGGCAAAAAACCAGAGGUAACAAUUGUUUUUUUAGCAGCCACAGGACGUGACGGCGUUCCACUGCACCUCACUCUCUUUAGGACUCUGAAGAACCUUCGGUCACCAAAACACAUAACUCAGGGAAAGGGGAAUGGAGGGGAGAAGGAGAAGGAAAGGGGGCGCCACCCCAUUUCCUCCACUCCAAUUCGGAUCCCUUCCUUGUGAGGGGCGCACCAGCCCCUUGUGGGCUGGUUAGCCUCUCUCUUAUGGCCCAGGAGAAGGAAAGGGGGCGCCACCCCAUUUCCUCCACUCCAAUUCGGAUCCCUACAAUUGUUUUUUUAGUAGCCACAGGGCGUGACGGCGUAUUCUGCUAAGGAGUAACAAUGUUUGACGCACUGAUAACAAUGUUAUUACAGCGAUUAACAUUGUUACCGUCAGAGGGCGUAACAAUGUUCUGAGGGAAGUAGUACAAUGUUAUUCUGCUGAGGAGUAACAAUGUUUGACGCACCAAUAACAAUGUUAUUACAGCGAUUAGACAAUCAACCACCUUAAAGCAAAGAAACUCGUUCUCAGAUUGUGUAUUAGCAGAGAUCUAAUCCAGAUCUUAUAGAAAUUUAAGAAGGGAUCUUCCCACCUGGCCCUAGAGCUAUUAUAGUUCAUCAAAAUCGAACGUGCUUGAUCUGUCACCAAAUUUUCUCAAGGCAAGCCAGCAAAAAACCAGAGGUAACAAUUGUUUUUUUAGCAGCCACAGGGCGUGACGGCGUUCCACUCCACCUCACUCUCUUUAGGACUCCGAAGAACCUUCGGUCACCAAAACACAUAACUCAGGGAAAGGGGAAUGGAGGGGAGAAGGAGAAGGAAAGGGGGCGCCACCCCAUUUCCUCCACUACAAUUCAGAUCCCUUCCUUGCGAGGGGCGCACCAGCCCCUUGUGGGCUGGUUAGCCUCUCUCUUAUGGCUCAGGAGAAGGAAAGGGGGCGCCACCCCAUUUCCUCCACUCCAAUUCGGAUCCCUACAAUUGUUUUUUUAGCAGCCACAGGGCGUGACGGCGUAUUCUGCUAAGGAGUAACAAUGUUUGACGCACCGAUAACAAUGUUAUUACAGCGAUUAACAUUGUUACCGUCAGAGGGAGUAACAAUGUUCUGAGGGAAGUAGUAACAAUGUUAUUCUGCUGAGGAGUAACAAUGUUUGACGCACCGAUAACAAUAUUAUUACAGCGAUUAACAUUGUUACCGUCAGCCACGAGAACAUUGUUGUUAUCGGCGCGUCAAACAUUGUUAUUCCUCAGAGGAAUAACAUUGUUAGCGCGGGGCGCAACCACUGUUACUGCCUCCCUAAGAACACUAUUACUCCCUCCCUCAGAACAUUGUUAAGGGGCCGCCACCCCAUUUCCUCCACUCCAAUUCGGAUCCCUUCAUUGUGAGGAGCGCACCAGCCCCUUAUGGGCUGGUUAGCCUCUCUCUUAUGGCCCAUAUGGCCCAUAUCUUCCACCGGGGGGUUCCGGUAACCCCUCUGGUACUCCUUGUUACCUCUGAGGGACUAUAGCCACAUACAAAAUAUUCCCCAAUGAUAGAAACCUUCAUUUCCGAUAGAUGAAAUAAGUCUUAUUGUGCUGCAGAUUAGACAAUCAACCACCUUAAAGCAAAGAAACUCGUUCUCAGAUUGUGUAUUAGCAGAGAUCUAAUCCAGAUCUUAUAGAAAGUUAAGAAGGGAUCUUCCCACCUGGCCCUAGAGCUAUUAUAGUUCAUCAAAAUCGAAUGUGCUUGAUCUGUCACCAAAUUUUCUCAAGGCAAGCGGGCAAAAAACCAGAGGUAACUUUUGUUUUUUUAGCAGCCACAGGGCGUGACGGCGUUCCACUCCACCUCACUCUCUUUAGGACUCCGAAGAACCUUCGGUCACCAAAACACAUAACUCAGGGAAAGGGGAAUGGAGGGGAGAAGGAGAAGGAAAGGGGGCGCCACCCCAUUUCCUCCACUCCAAUUCGGAUCCCUUCCUUGUGAGGGGCGCACCAGCCCCUUGUGGGCUGGUUAGCCUCUCUCUUAUGGCCCAUAUGGCACAUAUCUUCCACCGGGGGGUUCCGGUAACCCCUCUGGUACUCCUUGUUGGUGUCAAAACCGGCGGAUCUUGGGCAGGGGGUCCCGAACUGUGCGUCUAGGCGGAUGGUAACAGGAGACAGGGGACAUGAUGUUUUACCCAGGUUCGAGCCCUCUUGAUGGAGGUAAAACCCUACGUCCUGCGUGAUUAAUAUUGAUGAUGUGUAUUACAAGAGUGGAUCUACCACGAGAUCAAGGAGGCUAAACCCUAGAAGCUAGCCGGAUGCGGGGGCUUCGGCGCCCUUAAACAGCAACCUCCAUUACAACAAUCAUACCAUAGGCUAGCUUCUAGGGUUUAGCCUCCUUGAUCUCGUGGUAGAUCCACUCUUGUAAUACACAUCAUCAAUAUUAAUCACGCAGGACGUAGGGUUUUACCUCCAUCAAGAGGGCUCGAACCUGGGUAAAACAUCGUGUCCCCUGUCUCCUGUUACCAUCCGCCUAGACGCACAGUUCGGGACCCCCUGCCCAAGAUCCGCCGGUUUUGACACCAACAAGGAGUACCAGAGGGGUUACCGGAACCCCCCGGUGGAAGAUAUGUGCCAUAUGGGCCAUAAGAGAGAGGCUAACCAGCCCACAAGGGGCUGGUGCGCCCCUCACAAGGAAGGCAUCCGAAUUGGAGUGAAGGAAAUGGGGUGGCGCCCCCUUUCCUUCUCCUUCUCCCCUCCAUUCCCCUUUCCCUCUCCGGUAAAAGGAAGGGGGUUAGAAUUGGACUUGGAAUCAGAAUGAAAAUUAAGCACAGAUAACAAUGUUAUUACAGCGAUUAACAUUGUUACCGUCAGCCACGAGAACAUUGUUGUUAUCGGCGCGUCAAACAUUGUUAUUCCUCAGAGGAAUAACAUUGUUAGCGCGGGGCACAAGCACUGUUACUCCCUCCUUCAGAACAAUGUUACUCCCUCCCUCAGAACAUUGUUAUUAUCGUGGCUGACGCUAACAAUGUUAAUCGCUGGAAUAACAUUGUUGUCGGUGCGUCAAAGAUUGUUACUCCUCAGCACAAUAACAUUGUUACUAAUUCCCUCAGAACAUUGUUACUCUCUGAGAACAUUGUAACAAUGUUCUCUAGGGCCAUAUGGAGGGGAGAAGGAGAAGGGUAAAGGUGUUGAUGUAGAAGCCCUCCGUAGGGGGGGUUUCGAAAAAUGUAAAAUAACGAUUCGGGUGUGACUUAAAUCCGGACGGCAGGUUGAUUUCAAGAAAAAACAGAGACUUACGGGAAGUAGUAACAAUGUUAUUCUGCUGAGGUGUAACAAUGUUUGACGUACAGAUAACAAUGUUAUUCUAGAGACUAACAUUGUUAGCGUAAUAACAUUGUUAUCGGUGCAUCAAACAUUGUUACUCGUCAGCAGAAUAACAUUAUUAUAAUAACAUUGUUAGCUGGGGCGCAAACACGUGACUCCCUCCCUCAGAACAUUGUUAUUAUCGUGGCUGACGCUGACAAUGUAAACGCUGGAAUAACAUUGUUAUCGGUGCCUCAAACAUUGUUACUCCUCAGCAGAAUAACAUUGUUAUCGGCCCAUAUCUUCCACCGGGGGGUUCCGGUAACCCCUCUGGUACUCCUCGUCAUGUCUGUGAUCUCAUUUAGGACUCCGAAGAACCUUCGGUCACCAAAACACAUAACUCAUACAGGAAGAGGACCGGAAGCAGUGAGACUUGAGAGUGAGGUGGAGUGGAACGUCGUCACGCCCUGCGGCUGCUAAAAAAACAAUUGUUACCUCUGGUUUUUUGCCCGCUUGCCUUGAGAAAAUUUGGUGACAGAAGAACCUUCGGUCACCAAAACACAAAGUUACGAUUCCCGAACUGGACUUUGUUGCGUCCUCCGUCAGCUACCCGAAAGACAUUGUUAGGGAUCCUGUUGUCACCAUCCAUGUCCCAGCUAAAUGAACACCGUGGUUCCCGACCGUGCGCCAUCCGGGGAACAUUGUUAUCCAAAACAUUGUUAGCGACCUUGCAAUGCGGAUAUAAACAUUGUUACGUACAUAACAUUGUUACUGAAACAUUGUUGUGGACCCAGCAUAUUUACAUAUGCCUGGUCGGAAAACAAUGUAACGGACCAGAGGCUGUACCGGUAGAAGCAUUAACAAGGGAAAAUUUGGAUUACGUACUAUUUGUGAGAUACGUUUUCAAACCAUAUAGUUUUGUUUAUAUAAGUCUUAUAAGCUCUUUUAUUAAGGAAGAUACACUCGCCAGGAACAAUGUUACGGGUGUCAGAUGUAUUCAAGAGUAGGCUGUGAAGGCAGAACCGGACCUUCUAAGUAAAGUUAUGAUUCCCGAAUUGGAGUUUGCUGCAUCCACCGUCGGCUACCCGAAAGACAUUGUUAGGGAUCCUGUUGUCACCAUCCAUGGCCCACCUAAAGGAACAUCAUGAUUCCCGACCGUGCGCCAUCUGGGAACACUGUUAUGCCAAACAAUAUUACCGACCUUGCAUUGCGGAUAUGAAACAUGGUUACCGACCUUGCAUUGCGCACAGAAAACAUUGUUACGUAUUAUUUGUGAGUUACGUUUUCAAACCAUAUAGUUUUGUUUAUAUAAGUCUUAUAAGCUCUUUUAUUAAGGAAGAUACACUCGCCAGGAACAAUGUUAUGGGUUUCGGAUGUAUUCAAGAGUAGGCUGUGAAGGCAGAACCGGACCUUCUAAACAAAGUUACGAUUCCCGAAUUGGAGUUUCCUGAGUCCACCGUCGGCUACCCGAAAAACAUUGUUAGGGAUCCUGUUGUCACCAUCCAUGGCCCAGCUAAAGGAACAGCAUGGCUCCCGACCGUGCGCCAUCCGGGAACAUUGUUACCGACCUUGCAUUUCGGAUAUCAGACAUUGCGGACAAAAAACAUUGUUACCGAAACAAUGUUAUGGACCCAGCAUAUUUACAUAAGCCUGGUCGUACAACAAUGUAAGAGACCAGAGGCAGUACCAGGGCAAGCAUCAACACGGGAACAUUUGGAUUACGUUCUAUUUGUGAGUGACGUUUUAAAAUCAUAUAGUUUUGUUUAUAUAAGUCUUAUAAGCUCUUGUAUUAAGGAAGAUACACUCGCCAAGAACAAUGUUACGGGUUUCGGAUGUAUUCAAGCGUAGGCUGUGAAGAAGGAACCGGACCUUCUAAACAAAGUUACGAUUCCCGAAUUGGAGUUUGCUGCGUCCACCGUCGGCUACCCGAAAGACAUUGUUAGGGAUCCUAUUGUCACCAUCCAUGGCCCAGCUAAGGGUGUGUUUGGUCACUUUGUGCAUUUGAAAACCGAACCGAAAAACCAUAUCGAAAAUAAACCGAACCGAACCGAUUUUAUGGUUUUUAUGGUUUCUGGUUUCAGUAUGGUAUGAACUUUUCAUACCGAUUUGAACUUUGGUUUCUAUGGUAUAUACCAAAAAACUGAACGGUUAACGGAAUAAACCGAAGUAAAAAAUAAAUUUAUAUUUCUUGAGAUGAACAACCAUAAAAGUUGUCAUUUUUCUUGUACAUGAGUUAAAUUCACUACUAAGAACGUAAAUUUUCUUGUAACAUAGUCAUUUUUCUCCUUUUAAAAUGCUAAGCACGUCCAUAACCAUCAACAGAUGAAUCAAAACAUUCAUAUAUACUUAUAUAUAUGUAGUCAUAUACUAUUUGUGUAAAAUAGUAUGUGUUUUGAGUCAUAAAUUUGCAAAUUAUUAUACGUCAUUUUCAAAUGCGCGUCAACUUUGGUUUUUAUGGUAUAUACCGAAACCAUACCGAAAUAAUUUGGUAUAUACCGAAACCAAACACUAUUUUAUUUUCAUACCGUAUUUACCGAAGUAUUAAUACCAUACAAAUCGAAAAACCGUAUACACCGCACCAUGUAAACCGAAUAAACCGAACGCACAAGGUGACUGUUUGGUUUCUGUCACGAAGUGGAACAUCAUGGGUCGGACCUGCACCAGAGCCUCGUUCAUGCGUUUGGUUCGUAGGUGGAACGGGAACCAAGUCGUGGCACAGUUGACGCAAAGUACCAGUGGCAGAAAUUAAAUUUGUGACCGGUUCUUUCUUCGUCUUUCUUAAACAGCGUGUACAGCCAGUUCAUCAAAAAACUACUAUUUCCGACGACUUUCCUGAUGAACAGUCUAUUGGAGGUCGUCUUUCCCCAUUCCUCGUCCAACCCCUUCACAUGCAUGCAACGCUCAGUGGUGUGUUCAACGGUCGCAAGGGCCGUCCGGAUUCCCGAAUGAGCUCCUAGUGUGAUUAAACUGCUCAGCUUCUCCAUGCAUGCACCUAGGAAGUCGAUCCGUCGAGAGUGUAAACACGCUGCACGCGCAUUGGUUCCAGUGAAUGAGGUACAGUGCCAUCGCUGGUUCUCUGCCAUAUAAACCCAAGCGCGCGCCGGCCGCCGUCCCGUCUCCGUCACUAGAGGUUUGCAGCCAUCUACUUCUAAACAUUGAGAAAAUCUUGGAGCAUGCGCUCGAUGGACGCCGCCGACGAGCUGAAGCGUGCACGCGGCGGCGGCGGCAAGCAAUCCGUGGACCGGCUGAGCGCCCUGCCGGACGACCUCCUGCACGCCGUCCUUUCGCGCCUCAAGGCCCGUCAGGUGGUGCGGACGUGCGUGCUGUCCACGCGGUGGAGGCACCUCUGGCGCUCCGUGCCGUGCCUCCGCAUCGACCAGCGACGGCUUCCUCCUCAAGCGGCAAAGAUUCAAGAACUUUGCUCACAUCGUGCUGCGACGCCACGAUGCUGCGUUCCUAGAACAAUUUCGGCUGCAUGUAGGUUUUGGCUGUGAUUUUUUGAGUCGAUAUGCUGAGAGCUGGGUCCGCCACGGCAUAAGUCAGGAUGAGACAUGGCCUUGCCGGCUCAAAAGGUUGCAUGUUAACAACGUGUGUUUGGACAGUUAUUUUGCCAGGCACAUCAGUUCGCGGUGCCCUGCCCUUGAGGACAUGCGACUGAAAAACUGCAGCUUCUUGCUCACCGAGGACAUCAGGUUUACCUCCGCUUCCCUAAAGAAAGUGGUUAUCAUCGGCUUCCGUGUGCUGGAAAAUAAUCCUUUCGGGCUGAUUUUGGAGGCUCCUGCCCUUGCUUCACUCCGCCUGACUGGGCAUCAUCGUCACAUUUGCGGUAGUUGGCCACAAGAUUGCAUGCCAUCUCUUGUCGAUGCAUCGAUCCAACUGACUGUGUGGAAUUGGUUCAAUUACAACAACAACGAAGAUAACGACCUGAUUGAGAUGCAAUUGUCUUUGCUCGACGAGCUUUUCAAUGUGAUGAGUUUGCAUUUGUCUCGUUUCGGUGUCAUGGUACGUACACCUAAUUAUUCAGAUUGCAUCUCUUUUGUUUAUAGCCAUUUAACGAUAUUUUUUUAAUGAUAUGUAUGAUUUAGUUUCUUGUUCUUGGUGAUGAUCCUGGUCUGUAUUUCCCCAAGUUCAAAAACCUCAAGACGUUGUCCCUGGAGGAUUGUGAUAUCAGUGAUGACUUCCUCACGCUGAAGCAAUUCCUGCGGAACUCACCUAAUUUGGAGAAGCUCAUGUUGCGCUGUUGCAAGGUACUGCUGCUGCUGCUGCUGCUGCUGCUGCUACUACUACUACUACUUUCCUAACUCAGUUUAGUAUGUAAUAUUAAUUCUUUUAUACUGCCAACAGCUCUUAGAUCCCAGACCAAAAAGAUAUACAAAGGAGAUAAUGGGAAAAGCUCACUCAGAUUGUUGAGUGCAAGAACCUCAGGCUCACUGAAAUCAUAUACCCGAAGUAUGACAAUCAUCAUGUCCACCUAUUGGUCAUGUUUUUGUUAGGCAUGUCAAAGAAUAUGCCAAACAAUAAGAUUGAGAUCACUAGAGUCAAUUAGCAAUACCAUAUCCAUAUGUCAGCUUGUCCAGAAACUACUAUGUUGUCUAUCGUUUGAUGUCUUUCUAGUUUAGAUGUCAUAUUGGAUCGCCGGUUUUACAUUUUGUUUUUUCUUGAAGUCCAAGCUUUGAUUGUGUCUUAUGCAGUUUAUGGAAGGACAUUAUCUAUCGUUUGCUGACUUCCCAGUUUGCAUGUUGUAAUAUGUAUAAUCAGGUUUUCCUUGCAGGGCUUGGGUUUGAUUUUUUACUUCGGGAAAGCAAGUGCAGUUUUUUGACAUGCAAAAUUCAUAUGCAUGAUCAUGUAGUGUUUUGGUUCUACAAAGGGAGCUUGUAGUGGUUGGUUGAGGAGACUCCUUUUUUCUUCUUUGCAGAUGGAAAAAGAUAAUAUUUAUGUGUUGUUGCUGCUGAUGAUCAGUUCCAUUCGAAUUACAGCCCGUUUACAUACAAGUCUGCUAUAGAUGUGUCCCCUAUCUUGUAUUCUCCUGAGGAUUUCAUAAAGCCUGUUUUCAUCAGGAAAUAAUAACUUUAUGUCUCAUUCUCAACAGAUACGAAAUGGAGUAUCUCAUGCUUUCAUUGGUCCAUACCGUGGGAGUAAUAGCAUAUCCCACAAUUUUUUCUACAGUGUCAUGUAUAUGGAGGAUUCGAGCUGUUUUUUGAGGAUCCCAUAAAACCGGUCAAUGCCAGAGCACAUGGUCGGCGCCGCCCCAUGCGAGUAGUGAGCAGGUGGAGGGGCUCAGCCGUGGAGGGCUGGAGCAUCGCCAGAGCACGCGGCUGGCUGAUGUAGGGAAACGUAGCAUGCAAUUUCAAAAAAAAAAUCAUACGCUCACCAAAGAUCUAUCUAGGAGAUGCAUAGCAACAAGAGGGGCAUAGUGUGUCCUGGUACCCUUGUAGACCGAAAGCGGAAGCGUUUGACAACGCGGUUGACGUAGUCAAACUUAUACUUACUCGUUCCGACUUAUCAAGCACCGAACGUACGACACCUCUGAGUUCUGCACAUGUUCAGCUUGAUGACAUUCCUCGAACUCUUGAUCCAGCAAAGUGCGUGUAUUUUGGUUGGGCUUUCAAACGAUGGUGUUAGGAUGUUAUGCAUGCAUGAAAUGGUUAAAGAUAAUUGAAAUGGUUAUCACAACCGCGGAUUAUUUUGAACAACUCCAAAUAACCUGAGACAUCUUAGGGGUUUGAAGAUGUUUGUUCGUACUCACAAUUCCUUUUUGUAAGUGGGUUAGAUCAUCGCAAGAUUGAACCCAUUACAAAUCACCACUCCCUCUGAAUAGAAACCCGUCGAACAUGGCCAAAGAAGACAUGUAGAUCGGAGAGCAGGUGGGGCCGACACGACCAAGUGACGUGCCCUGCCCCCUGGGCACGUUGGGUUGCUGUGUGGGCCCCUGCUGCUCGUCACGACCUCUCCCGAUGCUCUCUAGGGUUCCUAGUUGCCCCAAAAAAUCAUGAAGCUGGUGCGCGAAGGGGAGACUAGCAACUGCUCCCACACGCGUUGAUUUCCACAUAUGUACAAUGGAAUAAUCCAUUAUCACGAAAAACUUGUUUUUUCAUUCCCAGUAAACGAACGGCCUAUCGCUUAACACGGGGCGACUUCCAUCGAUCUUAUAGUUUAACACAGUCAUCGGAUCGCUGACCAGUUUACGCUUAUUGUGACAGCCAGUUUUCGGCUUUCUCCACUGGUGCGCUUAAUCAUGCAAGCUGGAAGCACAAUCGCAGUAGUUCUCCCUUUGCAUACCUAGCCAAAGAAAGCAGAACGUAGGAGGCAAGCACAGGAGCCGAGCUACCCAACUAUUGACCAAAGACACAAUUCGAAACCAAUGCAUAUAAAGCAAUAUCCGAGAAUGUUUUUUGCCGAAUCUCUAAAGGUGUCCGGCGUUGCACUGCGAGACUUAUGCUGGAAACACACAAAUAGUUUAAAAGUACCAUAAGCUUGGAGAAUCAAAAAACUGCAGUAAAAACUUGACGUCCGAACUAGAUCAAGUGUUCGGUGCCAAUCCGAAAAUUGGCCUUAGAAAAAAAUUGUGCUUCUUUCGUGCUUUAACAUGACACAUCCUAUCUCGAGACUUCACGCGGGUCAGCCUAUGGCUUCAACCUCCUAGGGGGAAUCAAUUUUUUUCGCGUAAUUAGGUGGCACUUCCUUGCGUGUGAAGGUGUUUUAUGGUUUUUUAUUUCUUCUUUUUUGAGUUAGAAUAAAAAGAAAAAAUUAGGUCAUGUUUUUGUUGGGCAUGUCAAAGAAUAUGCCAAACAAUAAGAUUGAGAUCACUAGAGUCAAUUAGCAAUACCAUAUCUAUAUGUCAGCUUGUCCAGAAACUACUAUGUUGUCUAUCGUUUGAUGUCUUUUCUAGUUUAGAUGUCAUAUCGGAUCGCCGAAUUUACAUUUUGUUCUUUCUUGAAGCCCAAGCUUUGAUUGUGUCUUAUGGAGUUCAUUGAAGGACAUUAUCUAUCGUUUGCUGACUUCCCAGUUUGCAUGUUGUAAUAUGUAUAAUCAGGUUUUCCUUGCAGGGCUUGGGUUUGAUUUUUUACUUCGGGAAAGCAAGUGCAGUUUUUUGACAUGCAAAAUUAAUAUGCAUGAUCAUGUAGUGUUUUGGUUCUACAAAGGGAGCUUGUAGUGGUUGGUUGAGGAGACUCCUUUUUUCUUCUUUGCAGAUGGAAAAAGAUAAUAUUUAUGUGUUGUUGCUGCUGAUGAUCAGUUCCAUUCGAAUUACAG
This 61442-nucleotide long non-coding RNA is filed under the name Triticum aestivum (bread wheat). Its description in RNAcentral is "long non-coding RNA (TAES_LNC008138)". The record is from RNAcentral. Lineage: Eukaryota; Viridiplantae; Streptophyta; Magnoliopsida; Poales; Poaceae.